UGUGGCCAUGGUGGAAUUGGAUGAGUUUAGUGGAUCUUGCACCCGCAGUUUUCGGGGAGGAAGUCGCGGCACCUGUACUUGGUGGCGCCCUUGCCCGUGGACACGGGGACGCAGUUCUUGCAGGUGGCGGCGCACUUGGUGAGGAGGUCGUCGCAGGUCCACACGCCCGACCAGCUGGUGCACUCGCCGCACCAGCACUGCUUCUUCGGCCCUGCGCGGCAGCAGCAUGAUGCGUACUCGCUUUAUUUCGUCCAAUCAAGCUAGUAGCCAACUAGAUGAAAUCUCGGCAAGCACGACGUACCUGCAGGUCCUUUGGCCACAGCCGCAGAGAGCAGAAGGGCCUGGAGAACUAGGAUCACCAACAGAGUGCUGCUCCUGCUCUUCAUCCUCUACGUACGUACCGCUUGUUGCCGCCGACGACUCUAGUUUUAGUUUUAGGGUGUAAACAAGAAGGCAAGCUUCGAGUUUGUCACUGCUAGUGCUGCUGAGAUGCACAUGUGCUGCUUCACUAGACGAACUCGGUACUCUCUAUAUAGGCCGGGGCGGGGGUGUCCUCUCCUGGUCGGUCGAUCGAUCGGGGACAUGCCAUGUGCGCAUAGACUCAUUGCAGUGCGGGCCCAUCUAUCUUUUUUUUAAAAUUUCUUUUUGCAAACACACGUGUUACGCGAGUCUUACUGCUAGUAGAUGCGCGGCGAGUCGUGGAGCUGAAUGCAUAUCCAUCAUUUCGUCCCUGUAGCACGCGCACUAUAUUUGGUCGUCCUAGGUCUAGCUGGUCAAAGAUGGCCUGCUGUUACGCUGACACCGGCACCAUCAGGGCAUCAUGCAGAGGCCUCAAUAAUAAUGCAUCCUAGCUUUUGGUGCAGCACGGGAUCACCGUCCCUCUUGUCGGUCGAUCUGACCGUCCGCGCGUCUCCAACUUAGAUUACAAGUGUAACGAGACAUACAUAGAGUGGUAAGAAGUAGAUCAAAUUCAUUAUACUUUAUUAAUAUCAUGCAUGCUUAUAUAAAGAUAUAAAGGGUGCUUGUUAAUUCCUUUAAGAAAAAACUGUGGAAAAAACUUAAGAAUUUAUAUAGAUUAAAUAAUACUGUCGGGGACCAUAAUUAGGGGUACCACUAGUACACAGAAGCUCUAUAGUGGCGGUUCUAAACCUAUUUACACUGGCGUUUUUCAGUACCGCCAGUGCUAGGGGUCAGUGGAAAUCAGCAUUUCCACUGGCGGUUAUUUUGGAACCGCCAGUGAAAAGUGCAUUUUUACUGGCGGUUUUCUUAAGGAACCGCCAGUGAAAAGUGCAUUUUCACUGGCGGCUGAAUAAAGAAAACCGCCAGUGAAAAUGCAUUUCCACUGGCGGUUUUAUAAAGCAAACCGCCAGUGGAAAUGCACUUUUCACUGGCGGUUUUCUUUAUAAAACCGCCAGUGGAAGUUUUCCCGCCUUUUUUCAAAAUUUCAAACAAUACUGAAUUAUAUAUAUAUUUAUUUACACACACACAAACAUAUAUAUAUAUAUAUAUAGAUCUAUAUUGAUAUUGAAAGCAACAUGAAAUUAAAUUCUAUCAUACAUUUAUAUACAUCAAAGUAUUCUGUUUACAACCAUAUAUGCUUCAUGCAUUCUAUACAUCAUAAGUUUUCACCUAAGCUCUAAUAACUAUCUCGGCUAAGAGAUAAUCUACUAAUUUCUGUUAGUAUUCUAAACUCUGGCAAAGCUAAUGUUCCGGAAGCAUCGUGAUAUUUUCCUUCUGCGGGAAUGACCUCUUUCAAUAUGAAUGUGCAGAGGUCCUCGACUAUGCCAUACAAUGCAGCUUCGGUCAAGUUCUCCGGGUUUCCUCGUUGAAAUUGCUGUAAAGGAAUUUUAUAAACAUCAUCUAUUUAUACUCAAUAAUAACACAUUUGCAUCUUUAAUGACAUAAAUACAUACUUGACUAUUACUAAUAAUACCUUGUCAGGGUUCGUGAUGUAUCGUCCGUUCACUCUCAUGAACUCGCACGCAUAGAAUCCACAUAGGACCGAUCAUUGUGGUUGCUUGUGGCACUACAUAACGGGAGAUUGGUUAUUUAGUUGCAACAUUGUGUAUGAUAUGUAUUCAUAAAAUCACAUACUUACCGGCCAGUGAUGAUGGAUGUCUAGUGGCACGAGUUUUUUCGACAGGUCGUACUUUCCACCUCUCAUCUUAUAGAAUCUAUAAGCCCUGUGAUCUCAAAUAGAAUCACCAUGUUAUUCUCAAAUUUUAAUCGAUAAAAGUAUGCAUGCAUAGAAAAGGCUUACAGCUCUAAGAUGCUGAGGAAUGUUGCAUAUGUCGAAGGGUCGAAGUUCAAGGAGUCGAGCACCAGCACCUUUCCAACCUUAGGAUAAAUGAGGAAGCAUAUCCAGUGGUCCCUGUACGAAUCAAAUUUGUGAUGCAUGUGUAUUAAAAUUAUUAAUUUUAUUUAUGCAAAAUCACACUUACUUAAAGUUGUACGGGGCCAUUAUGGCUUCCCUGUCUUGAAAUUGAAGCAUUGCAUGUCCUAUGUAGGUGGCGUAUCGAGCUUCAAAAUCCUUCUUCAUAUCCUUUAUACGCUUCUUAACUUCUUCGUCCGUCUUUCCCCGUAUUUCAUCGUUGUCUUUCCCGAUUCUAAAAGUGUGGCUUUCCUCGGAUAUAAGUAUUGGGUUGAGAUACCCAACCCUUUUACUGGCACUAGCAUUGGGCUUGGUACCGUAAAGAAUCUCCUGCUGAUCAUGUUGCAUUCUGCAAGUCACACGUGCAUGUCAGAUAUUGAAAUUUUAUACAGCUCACUAAUAAUAACACACAUAUGUGGAAGUAUGAGCGACACUUACAAUGCAAACAUCGUUACAAGUUGCACGUCGAGUCUCUGAAGGUUCAUCAUUAACCACAUGUCCUCGAAUGUAACAACGGCCUUUUGGUCCGAACCAAUAAAAGCAUGGUCUGGUAUAUGCACACUGAUGGUGUCGAUGCCAACCGAUGAUGCCCGCAUGUACCAGUCAUGCAACCUUUUAACACCAGCCGGGACCUUUCUUAGUUUCUCAAGAGGUAGCAGAGGUCUGCCCGGCACAUAUUUUUUAGGCACGUUUUUGUAAUCUGCCUUAGUUGGCUUCUUUAUCUUUGCGGCCAUUGCCUUAGCCUUUUUUGCAGACUCCUCGUGCUUGGCCAAAUCAACAGUUUGUGACGUGAGGCUCCGUCCAAUCCCUUUCAAAAACCGAGCUGUGCCAGCAGUAGUAGCUUUACUCUUCUUUUUCUGAUACAGGGACACCAAUUUUGGUAUAGGAAGUUUAGAUUUCUUUGAUGGCCUUGGAUCCUUUGAUGGUUGUGGAGAAGGUGGAUCCCUUGAUGGUGGCAUAGACAGUGGGUCACCAAGAGGAUGGGGAGGAGAAGGUGGUGGAGCCCUGAAUGGUGAUGCUUGUGGCGGAGACGGUGGGUCAGAAAAAGGAUGAGGAGCAGCAUGUGAAGUUUGAGGAGGUGAUGAUGGAUGUACAAUAGGAACAACAAUUUGAGAAGGCGGAGACGGUUGGGCCUGCGACGCCUGCGACGAAUUCGACCAAUCAAGCAAUUCGACAUCCCUUCGAGGCCAAAGGAUAAAAUUCUUGAUAGCUUGUCCAAGUUUCUCGAUACCUUCGGGCCCAGGGAUGUCUAGCAUGUCGUCCUCGGAUCCUUGGAUGACCGUCGUCACUUCUACUUUGCAAUAAUCAUCUGGAAUAUCGUUUCCAUGGAACUUGCGUCCUGGGAUCGCAAGGCCUGUGGCUACUUUCUUUGUACGUUUAUUGUUAAUACCAUAUCUUAUAACCAGUGUGCACGCCAUAGGCCUAAUGAUGUCAUCAACUGGAUAACGGUCCUUAUUUCCCGUUGAAGCAACAGAGCUUGGUAAUGUCGUACAAUCUGUGGAAGCCGGCGGUUGAGCUGCUGGAAUUAUUUGUAUCUGUGGAGUGGUCAUCUGUUGAACAGACAUCGCACUCGCCAACUGUUGCAUCAAUUCUGGAGGAGGAUUCGAUAGCAUUUGAGACAUCAUGGUUUUGAACUCUUUCUUGGCCUCCUCCUUAAAAUAAUCCGCCAUCUCUUCCUUGUAUCGAUCACGUUUCUUGUACAGACCUUCCCACUGUGGUCCGAAUCCUUCCUUCCAUCCUUCCUUAGACGAGAUUCCUCGUACACGACCAGGAUGCUCAGGGUUACCGAGACCAGCCGUUAGGAUGUCUCUUUCCCUUUGUGGCUUAAAAGUUCCUUGGCUCUGCUUAGCUGCCAUUGUAUAUAUGUUUUUUGCCGCUUCUUCGACAAUGGGAUCAUCAAAAGAUACACCGGUCUCGGUUUCCCUUGGUUUUCUAGCACGGAGCCAAUUUGCCGCCCUUUCACCAAGUUGCUCGGACAGCGUCGGCAACCCUGCGACCUUCUUCUCGGCGUCUUCUUGUGUCCAUUUAGGAACCUGAUGCUUGUAACCACCUAUGCCUAGGUGGUGGCGGUACUUGUUCUUCUUUGAUAGUUCCGAAUUUGCCUCACUUAGAGAUAUGAAAUCAGGGCUGCUCCUCUGCUCUAGAAAUACUGCCCACUGACCUGCUGAGAUUUUAUAUUUUUUGGUCGGGUCCAGACCUUUCUUUGCAAACUUUGUGUUCAUCUCAGACCUCCAGUUUCGGAAAUUGAUUGCAAGCUGCUUCAUCGUGUAUUCCUUCACGAGUUCUUCUGAACCCCGAGGCAGAACGAACCUCAUUAAUAGCUUAUUCCAUAUUUGAUUCUUGACAUCAUCUGACACAUCUCUCCACUAUCGUAUUGUUAUGUCAAGAUUAUCUCUAACUAAAAACCCAAGUGCAUUCCGGAACUUAGGUAGUGCCUCUUCUGGAGCUAGGGGCUGACCUUUCGGGCUCACGUCUGAGAUUUUGUAUGUUUUGUCGGGAAACUUGUUCAGCCCCCUGUCACCUCUUUUUCGAUCGCUCUGCUUCCUUUUCUUGACGUCUCGGUUGUUGUCUUGGUCUGUUCCGGUGCGUCUUGGGUCGGCUCCGGUACGUCUUCGUAUCGUGCCACGGCUUCUUCGAGUAUCGCACGAAAUUCAGACACGACCUCCUAUUCAUGUAAUAAAAUGCACAAGAGAUCAUGCAUGUGAAAUCAGUAGGGUACACAUACGAAGCUAAAGAUGCGUACUUUUACCUCAGCUUCUCGUGGAUCAUAAGUAGGGUCACGUUGCAACUCACGGAGAGCGGCCGUAUCUAUGCUAGUGGUAGGAAAAGGGUCGCUAGGCGUUUCAUAUCCUUCACUGCUGGAUUGUUCUUGAGCAACACUCUUGUCCAUGUGCUCGGGCACUAAUCCUUGGUCCUUGAUCGGAGAACUCAUUGAGCUAUAUAUAUACAAAUACAUAAGCAAUAAUUAAAUACAUAUUAACACAUAUUAACAUAAGCAAUAAUUAAAUUCAUAUUAACAAAUAGUAUAAUUAAAUACAUCCUCGGGCACUAAACCCUUAACCCUAACCCUAACCCAAAACCCGAACCCUAACCCUAACCCUAACCCUAAACCCUAACCCAAAACCCAAACCCUAACCCUAACCCUAACCCUAAACCCUAACCCUAACCCUAAACCCUAACCCUAACCCUAACUAUAACCCUUAACCCUAACCCUAACCCUAAACCCUUAACCCUAAUCCUAACCCAAAACCCGAACCCUUAACCCAAAACCCGAACCCUUUAACCCUAACCCUAACCCUAACCCAAAACCCGAACCCUUAACCCAAAACCCGAACCCUUAACCCUAACCCUAACCCUAACCCUAAACCCUAACCCUAACUAUAACCCUUAACCCUAACCCUAACCCUUAACCAUAACCCUAACCCUAACCCUAACCCUAAACCCUAACCAUAUAGUAUCGUAUAGUCGUAUAGUAUCGUGUAGGACGGGGAGAGAGUCGCAUAGGACAUAUAAAGAGGGAGAGAGGGAGAAUCGUAUGGAUAUUAUCGAGUUACGUAUAGAGAGGGAGAGAGGGAGAGUCGUAUAGGACGAGGAGAGGGAGAGAGGGAGAGUCGCAUAGGACGUAUAGAGAGGGAGAGAGGGAGAGUCGUACGGAAAUUAUCGAGUUCAGAUCGAAUUCGGAUCGGAUCGGAUACGUAUAUUAUCGAGUUGUGACGGAUAAAAUUACAAUGUAUAUAUUCAACAUACAUUUGAACACAUAUGAACACACAUAUAUAUUGAACACAUAUAUAUAUAUUGAACACAUACAUUUGAACACAUAUGAACACACAUAUAUAUUGAACACAUACAUUUGAACACAUAUGAACACAUAUAUAUAUUGAACACAUACAUUUGAACACAUAUGAACACACAUAUGAAUAAAAAUAAGUAUUGUAUGAAUACUCUCAUCUCCUCUCCUCUCUCUCCCUCUCCCUCCUCUCUCUAUCUCUCUCCCUCUCCCUCUCUCUAUCUCUAUCUCUCUCCUCUCCCUCUCCUCUCUCUCUCUUACCCUCCUCUCCCUCCCCUCUAUCUCUCUCCUCUCCCUCUAUCUCUCUCCCUCUCUCUAUCUCUCUCCUCUCCCUCCUCUCUCUCUCUCACCCUCCUCUCCCUCCCUCUAUCUCUCUCCCUCUCCCUCUCCUUCCUCUCUCUUCCUCCCUCUCGGCGGCGGCGGCGCGUGCGCCCUCCUCUCUCCUCCCUCUCCCUCUCCCUCCUCUCUCUUCCCUCUCCAACUCCUUCCUCUCUCUUCCUCCCUCUCGGCGGCGGCGCGUGCCCUAGGGUUUACUAAAACGCGGCGGCGGCGGCUGCGCCGGCGCGGUAGACGACGACGGCGGUACGGCAGAUUAGGGGAAAGAGAAAGAAACCUGGAGACGGCGGUGCGGGGGCGGGAAUGGCGGCGUGGGGACGGGCGCGGGGACGAUCGCCGGCGAAACCCUCGGGGUCGAAAUCCAGCAGCCUGACGGCGUCGUCUUGAAGUGAACUGGCGCCAGGGACUUGUAAAUUUUUCGGCUCCCGCGCGCCACCCUUUAUAUAGGCGCAUUUCUACUGGCGGUUGACAACGAGAACCGCCAGUAGAAAUGGCUUCCACAGACUGUAGAAGCCAUUUCUACUGGCGGUUGACAACGAGAACCGCCAGUAGAAACUAUUUCUACUGCCGGUUGUCAUAGAGAACCGCCAGUAGAAAUGGCUUCUACAGUCUGUGGAAGCCAUUUCUACUGGCGGUUCUCUAUGACAACCACAAGUAGAAAUAGUAUUUUAUUAUUAUUAACAUAGUUUUUUUAUAUAUUGUUUUACUUCACUUUUUAUAUAUUAUAUUAAGUAUACUUUUAUAUAUUGUUUAGUAUACUUUUACCUCUCUCCAUCCCCUCUCUCUCCUCUCUCUCCAUCCUCUCUCUCCCUCUACCUCUCCUCUCUUUCCUCUCCACUCUCUCUCCCCUCUCCCUCUCCAUCCUCUCUCUCCUCUCCACUCUCUCUCCCCUCUCCCUCUCCAUCCUCUCUCUCCCCUCUCCCUCUCCAUCCUAUCUCUCCAUCCCCUCUCUCCCCUCUCCCUCUCCAUCCUCUCUCUCUCUCCUCUCUCUCCAUCCUCUCCUCUCUUUCCAUCCUCUCUCUCCUCUCCACUCUCUCUUCCCUCUCGCUCUCCAUCCUCUAUCUCCUCUCCACUCUCUCUCCCCUCUCCCUCUCCAUCCUCUCUCUCCAUCCCCUCUCUCUCUCCUCUCUCUCCAUCCUCUCUCUCUCCUCUCUCUCCAUCCUCUCUCUCCUCUCCCUCUCCUCUCUCUCCUCUCUCUCUCCCUCUCCUCUCUCUCUAUAAAGUCAAUAGAAAGUCAUGUAAAAUUGUAAAUGGUAGCCACGAAAAUUGAAUGAAGACAAUUACAUGCUUCGGUUUGUCGCUAACAAUAAUCAAUUACAUGACAAGUCCUAACAAUAAUCAAUUACAUGACAAGUAUAUAAUCUAGGAAGCUAUUGUUCUGCCUUGUCCAUCGUGGCGUACCCAGGGCAACGAAUUGAGUGGGAUGCUUCGCUCAACGUUCCUUAUCUUGGUUGGAUGGUCUAUGAAAAGAGACAUGUCGUUGAACUGGUUAAAAUUCUCUAAAUCAGAUACACCAUCAACUCCUAUAGCUUGUUGUUUUCCAGGAAAAACUACAUGCUUCGGUUUGUCGGUGCUUUUCUUCUCAUUGUUAGAAAUGAUCUGUUCAGCAUAGAAGACCUGUGCAGCACGAUUAGCAAGGACCCAUGGGUCAUCUUUGUAACCUACCUUACUUAGAUCAAGAACUCUGACCCCAUAGUUGUCUACCGUGACAUGUUUGUCUUCAACCCAUUGACAUCGGAAAACCGAGAUCUGAAAUGUACCAUAGUCUAGUUCCCAUAUGUCCUCAAUAAAGCCAAAAUAUGUAAUAAUCUCACCAGUUUCAUCAUCUAUGGCCUCGCAUCGAACACCACUGUUUUGUGACAUGCUCUUUUUGUCCUUGGACUUGGUACAAAAUGUGAAUCCACUAAUGUCAUAGGUUUGCCAUGUUGUGACCUGGCGUGAUGGUCCAGAUGCCAAGCCCUUGAUGGUUUGUUCUUCUAUUGUUUCUCCACGUGGAAUGUCCUUCACCAUUAGCCAUGUGUUGAACCGCUGCUUAUGUUGCUUCAUUACCCAAUCAUCCGUAUGCCCAGGAUUUUGCUCGCGAAGCUCAUUGAUGUGUUGUUGGAUAAAUGGCUCCAUUAUCGUUAGCUGAUGUAGGAUGCUCUGAUGUGCCUCAAGUACUAUAUCGUAAUCCGGUGGGAUGAAAGAUUUCUGUCCCAUCCUCCCGCUUCCAUACAGUCUACCCUCGUGUCGUGACGGAGGCAGACCUAUUGCAACCUGGUCUUUUAGGAUACUAUUGCAGAAUGGACCUCCAGACUCAAUGGCCUCUUCGGUACAGUACCCCUCUAUCAUGGAUGCCUCGGGACGAGCACGGGUUGAUACAUAGCCAUUCAGUAUUGACAUGAAACGCUCAUACGUCCACAUUUCAUGCAAGUACAUAGGACCCAAUGCCUCUAUUUGUGGCACCAAGUGCACCACAAGGUGCACCAUAAUAUCAAAGAACGAUGGAGGGAAACACAUCUCAAACUGUGAUAUUGUCUCCACUGCGAAUUCCUGAAGAGAUGCCAACUCAUCACGGCCAAUUACCUUUUGUGAAAUCCUGUUGAAAAAGUAGCACAACCGUGUGAUUGCCAUCUUUAAAAACAAAGGAUUUAUAGCCCUGAUGGCAAUAGGUAGGAAUGUAGUCAGCAUGACAUGGCAAUCAUGUGAGUUGUAGUUGGUGAUUGUCAGGUCUUUCAUUGACACAAUACUCCGUAUGCUAGAGCAGAAUCCGGAUGGGACUUUCAAAUUCUUGAGCCAAACACACAUCGCAUGUUUCUCAUCUACAUUGAGAUUGUAGCUUGCUGCUGGGAGAUGGUACUUCCCAUUUUCUUGAAGAACGGGAUGUAGUUCCUUUUUUAUGCCUAAAUCUACCAAGUCCAUGCGUGAAUUGAGCCCUUCUUUUGUUUUGCCCUUUAUGUCUAGCAAGGUGCCCAUUAUGCUUUCAAACACGUUCUUUUGAACGUGCAUACCAUCGAUCGCAUGCCGCACAUCUAACUCUUUCCAGUAAGGCAAGUACUCGAAGAAAAUAGACUUCUUCUUGAAUAUAGCCCCCGAAGCUGGUUUGACAUCCUUCCUUGUUUUUCCGUCUUUUGUCUUCUUCCCGAAAACAAACUUGAUAUUCCUGACUAUUUCAAAAACUCUAUGACCUCUAUUGUUACCCGAUGGAGCAGUAGAAUGUAGUUCACCAUUAUUGUCGAAGUACUUAUCCAUCUUUCGCAUGCGGUACCUGUGUCCUUCCAAUAAAAAGCGUCUGUGCCUCAUGUAAACUAUCUUCCUAGAUGCAGCAAGGGAUACGUAAGCAGUUCCAUCAAUGCAUACUGUGCAACCAACCUUUCCCUUAAACUGGCCUGAUAAUGUGAAGAGAGCAGGGUAAUCGUUGAUCGUAACAAAAAGAAUUGCUCUCAGCGUGAAUGAACCUUUACGAUACUCAUCCAACAUUUGAACACCUGUUUCCCACAAUAUUUUCAUAUCCUCCAUUAAGGGCUCCAAAAAUACAUCCAUGUCAACUCCAGGUUGUGUAGGUCCAGAAAUAAGGAUGGUUAGCAAAAUGUACUUCCGUUUCUGCAUCAACCAUGGAGGAAGGUUGUAUAUGGUGAGGAUCACCGGCAAAGUGCUAUGCUUGCUGCUCCUCUCAGCAAAUGGGUUCAUUCCAUCAGUACUCAGUGCGAACCUAACAUUUCUCGGUUCAUCGGCAAAGUCUCAGUGGUUGUCAUUGAAAUCUUGCCACUGCUUCCCAUCGGCUGGAUGUCGAAGCUUCCCAUCGUUUUUGUGCUCAUCAGAAGCAUGCCAGCUCAUAAGUCUGGCAUCCUCAGGAUUAGCGAACAAACACCUCAAUCGAUCGACGACGGGGAGGUACCACAUCACCAAAGCAGGAAUCUUUUUGAGCGCAUAAUAGUCUACUUCUUUUUCUUUGCUCGUGGAUUUUGAAGUCUUUUUUUGGGCUUUCUUUCGCUUCUUCCCUUUAGACACGGAUGCAACACACUCUUCGUCCUCUCGAUAGUCUUUAUUCGUCUUGUACCUACUUGCACCGCACUUUGGGCAGCUCUCCAAGUCUUUAUAAUCAUCACCUCGAUAAAGGAUACAGUGAUUUCUACACGCGUGGAUCUUCUCCACACCCAUAGUGAGCGGACUGAUUAGUUUCUUUGCAUAGUACGUGUUAGCAGGCACAUUGUUCUCCUUUGGAAGCAUGUCUGCGAUAAUACUCAAGAACGCAUCGAAGCCAGCAUCAGACACACCAUAUUUAGCUUUUAACAUCAACAGCUUUAGCACAGACCGGAGCGUCGUGAACUCUUUGGUACAACCCUUAGACUCGUCAUACAAAGGCUCUUCUGCUGCCUUCUUCAGGGACUCCAUACCUUUCAUUAAGAACAUCGAUUGAUCUGUAAUGCGAUGCAACAUUGCCUCUAGCAACUCUGCAUCUUCCUCAUCCAUAACACUUGGUAGAACAUGAGGUAUAUCAUGUUCAUUUCCUCCAGCGUAACCAUGAUCAGUAACAUUUUGCACUACAUGUUCGCUCUGUGGAAGAGGUUGGUGUGUCUCGUGAACGAACUGAAAUCUGUCGUCGAUGUUCUCAGGGUUUCCAGUCGUAUAAGGCGAAGAGCUACCCUCUCCAUGCUUUGUCCAAAUUGUGUAAUCCUUCAUAAAUCCUCGGCAUACCAGAUGAGAUAUGAUUUGUUCUGUGUCAUUAAAUACAACAACAUUUUUGCAGUCCAUGCAUGGACAAUAUAUGUGUUUUGUCUUUGUUCUCCAAGCAUGGUUCGUAGCGACAUCAAUAAACCUAUGGACCUCGGAUAUGUAUGAUGGAUCUAGCCUUGAUAAGUUAUACAUCCAGGAUGUCCUCUCCAUCACCACCUGUAAAAAAGUAACAUAAACACACAAGAACCAACCUUUCUUAGCAACAUUCUUCCAAAAAAUAAAGAUAAACCCCCCCUUGUAUUUUGUGAAAUCUGGCCCUCUAAUGGAAGUUGGGCUGCGAGCUAUAGUUCUUGUCGGGAAGGAUGAAGGGGUGAAACCCUAUAUCCAAAAUGUGGCUAAAUUUAAGGAAAAUGAACAAAAAUUGGCAAGAAGAACAUAAAACCAAACUUUCCUAGCCAUACUCUUCUCUCUAACACAUGGUGAAGGCCUAGUUCCAAAAUUGAGCAAAGAUGAACAAUAAUUGGCAAUUAAAACAUAAUUAAACCAACUUUCAUAGCAACUAAUAAAAACAAUCUUAAUUACCAAAAACCUAUCUUCUUCUCUCUCCACACAACACAUGAACCAUUCAUUAAACAACUUAAUAUGUCAUGGAUAAACUGAUUUGAGAACUAAACAUGAAAAAGGAGAGAGGAUAGACAAAAUCUAACCAUAUUAAACAACUUUAUUUGAGUGAAUAGAGCAAAAAUGUGGCUAAAAUGUGGCUAAAAUUGAGAGAGGAUACACUCUCUCUCAAAUGGUGAAACCCUAGAUCCAAAAUGUGGCUAAAAUUGAGCAAAAAUGAAUAAAAAUUGACAUUAGCAACAUAAACCAACCUUUCUUAGCAAUCUUCUUCCAAAAAAUGAAGAUCAAAACCUCUCCCCAUGUAUUUUGUGAAUUCUAGACCUCCAAAAUCGCCUCCAAUGGAAGUUGGCUGCGAGCAUACAGUUCACUGUCAGGGGAAGAAGAGGGGUAUUUAUAACAGACACUUCACUGGCGGUUGUCUUUAAAAACCGCUAGUGAAAAUUGAUUUCCACUGGCGGUUGUCUUUAAAAACCGCCAGUGAAAAUAGGAUGUUUCCACUGGCGGUUAAGUUAAGAUAACCGCUAGUGGAAAUAAAUUUUCACUGGCGGUUUGUGUUACACAACCGCCAGUGGAAACAUCCUAUUUCCACUGGCGGUUGUGUUAAGAUAACCGCCAGUGGAAAUAGGUUUCCACUGGCGGUUUUUAAAGCCGGGCCCACCUGUUUCUUUCACUGACGUUUGAUAACGGAAACCGCCAGUGAAAAGUUGAACGUGCCGCAGGCUUUGAGCUUAUUUGUACUAGUGUACCCCCAAGACUCCUAAACUCGGCUGGUAACCACCAUCAGCACAAGCUGCAAAGGCCAGAUGGGCGCAAUACAGGUCAAAGCUCCGUCCACUCAAGGGAUACAAUCUCGCCUCGCCCGAGCCCAGCCUUGGGCAGGAAUAGUAGACCCAGGUGGAUUCACGCCUCGCCCGAGGGCCUCCUCAAGCAACAGGCGCACCUUCGACUCGUCCGAGGCCCAGCUCGGGCAGGCUUCGCAGUGAAGCAACCUUGGCCAGAUCGCCUCGCCAACCGACCGUAUCGCAGGAGCAUUCAAUGCAAGGAUCGCCUGACACCUUAUCCUGACGCGCGUUCCUCAGUCGACAGGGCUGAAGUGACCGCAGUCACCUCGCCCCUCCACUGACUGACCUGACAGGAAAACAACGCUGCCUGCCCUGCUCUGACUGCUGUGCCACCCGCCAGGGUGAGGCUGACAGCCGCCGAGUCCAGCCUCAGGCGCCAUAGGAAGCUCCGCCUCGCCCGACCCUGGGGCUCGGCCCCCGCCUCGACCUCGGAAGACGGUCUUCGCCUCGCUCGACCCCAGGGCUCGGACUCAGCCUCGACCUCGGAAGACGGUCUCCGCCUCGCCCGACCCCAGGGCUCGGACUCAGCCUCGACCUCGGAAGACGGUCUCCGCCUCGCCCGACCCCAGGGCUCGGACUCAACCUCGACCUCGGAGGAUUCUUCGCCUCGCCCGACCUUGGGCUCGGACCGACCACGUCGCAGGGGGGGUACAUCAUUACCCUACCCCUAGCUAGCUCAGGCUACGGGGAACAAGACCGGCGUCCCAUCUGGCUCGUCCCGGUAAAACAAGUAAUGAUGGCACCCCGCAUGCUCCCAUGACGACGGCGGUUCUCAGCCCCCUACGGAAGCAAGGAGACGUCAGCAAGGUCCCGACAGCCCCGACAGCUGUGCUUCUACAGGGCUCAAGCGCUCCUUCGACGGCCACGACGCAACAUGCACAGGGUACUAACACCUCUCCGACAGCCACGUCGGCAUGUACAUAGGACUCUGGCUCCUCUCUGCCAGACACGUUAGCAUACUGCUACACCCCCUAUUGUACACCUGGGCCCUCUCCUUACGUCUAUAAAAGGAAGGUCCAGGGCCCUCGUACGAAAAGGUGGCCGCGCGGGAGGACGGGCUGACGAACAUGCUCUCUCCCUCUCUCGCGAACGCUUGUAACCCCCUACUGCAAGCGCAUCCGCCCUGGGCGCAGGAUAACACGAGCCGCGGUUCCCCUCUUGUUUCCCCCUUGUGUUCCAUCUCGCGCCGACCCAUCUGGGAUAGGACACGCAGCAACAAUUUACUCGUCGGUCCAGGGACCCCCCGGGGUCGAAACGUCGAAAGUUGGCGCGCCAGGUAGGGGCCUGCUGCGUGUUGACGAACAGCUUCCCGUCAAGCUCCAGAUGGGUAGUCUCCAGCAACCUCUCCAGCCCGGGACGCUGCUCCAUUUCGGGAGUCUCGAGUUCAUGUCCCUCGACGGCAGCUACGACAUGGUACUCCUUCCUCCGCCGCGCGACAACGACAACGGCGGCCGUCAGCCCACCCGACGGCGGCGGAAUCGGCGACGUCUUCCCCGCGUAGCGGAAGAGCAGCAUCCGAGUCUGUCCCGUCACCUUCCCCGCCGCAGGAGGAGGAGGCGGGGCAACCAUGGCCAAGCAGGAGGCGGCACCUCGUUGGCUGUCGAGCGAGUUGACGACGCCGGCGCCCCAGCGGGGGACACGUCAGGCGUUAACCUCGCGUCUGAGAUGAAGACGAGCGUCGUUUGACCGCAACACGCCAACCCCAAGCGGACGGAUGACGCCAGCACGCUCGUGAAGGACUUGCUGGGUGUUAGCCUCGUACCUGAGAUAACGGUGCAGUCCGUCCCCGACGCGACUUCGUCACCAUCCGUCGAUCAAAAGGUACCGUCUGUUUUCCAUCCUGUGCCUUUUAGAUUCAGCUCGACCCACCGAGCGACCCCGCUUCGGUGGACACUUUCAUAAAGGCAUAUCCGAACCUUCCGGGAUACCAUAUGUGGUCCACUUGGGACCGACUGACGGCCGUCUCGACCUACGGGCCCUCGGGUUCUGAGGAAGAUGACGACCCCGACUCUGGUUGGGAUUUCUCCGGGCUCCGUGCUCCUAGUGCCAUGCGGGACUUCAUGACCGCAUGUGACUACUGCCUCUCCGACUGCCCCGAUGAUGGCCACAGCCUUGACGACGAGGACUGUGGCCCAAGUCGCGAAUGUUUCCACGUCGAUCUAGGGGGUCUCGACGAAGGCAACCACCUUGGUAUGCCGGAGGACGGCGAUCCCCCUAGGCCUGCGCCUCGCGUUGACAUCCUUCGGGAGCUAGCUGUGGUCCCAGUCCCUGCGGGGGGUCAGGACACACAGCUCGAGCAAAUCCGUGAGAUGCAGGCCAAGCUCGACGAGGAAGCAGGACAACUUGUGCAGCUCCGGCAAAACAUCGGGCAGGAGUGGGCAGGCCGAGCGCUAGCCAGAGAAGCACGCCAUCAGGCCCAGGACGUCCAGCACCGCAUCGCCGACGAUGCCAGGGCAAGGCUGCCCCCGGCUUCCAGUGGGGUCGGCCAGAACCUGGCUGCAGCAGCAAUACUACUCCGAGCGAUGCCGGAGCCAUCCACCACCGAGGGGCGGCGUAUCCAGGGAGAGCUCAAGAAUCUCCUGGAGGAUGCCGCGGUCCGACGGACCGAAAGCUCUGCCUCCCGAAGGCAGGGGUACCCCCCGGAGCAUCGCGCCGCGACUUCCCGAUUCAUGCGAGAAGCCUCGGUCCACACCGGGCGCACGCGGGACGCAACGCCUGUAGCCUCGGGUCGCCUCGGCCACGAGCACCACCGCUACAAUCGUCGAGCCCACCUCGAUGAGAAGGUGCGCCGAGGCUACCACCCCAGACGUGGGGGACGCUACGACAGCGGGGAGGAUCGGAGUCCCUCGCCCGAACCACCCGGUCCGCCAGCUUUCAGCCAGGCCAUACGACGGGCGCCGUUCCCGACCCGGUUCCGGGCCCCGACUACCAUCACUAAGUACUCGGGGGAAACGAGGCCGGAACUGUGGCUCGCGGACUACCGGCUGGCCUGCCAGCUAGGUGGAACGGACGAUGACAACCUUAUCAUCCGCAACCUCCCCCUGUUCCUCUCCGAUGCCGCCCGAGCCUAGCUGGAGCAUCUGCCUCCUGCGCAGAUCUCCAACUGGGACGACCUGGUCAAAGCCUUCGCUGGAAACUUCCAGGGCACAUACGUGCGCCCUGAGAACUCCUGGGAUCUCCGAAGCUGCCGCCAGCAGCCAGGGGAAUCCCUGCGGGAGUAUAUCCGGCGAUUUUCGAAGCAGUGCACCGAGCUGCCCAACAUCACCGACUCAGAUGUCAUCGGCGCGUUCCUCGCCGGCACCACCUGCCGCGACCUGGUGAGCAAGCUAGGUCGCAAGACUCCCAUCAGGGCGAGCGAGCUGAUGGACAUCGCCACCAAGUUCGCCUCUGGUCAGGAGGCGAUCGAGGCCAUCUUUCGGAAGGACAAGCAGCCUCAAGGACGCCUGCAGGAAGACAUCCCCGAGGCGUCCGCCCAGCGCGGCACGAAGAAGAAGGGCAAGAAGAAGUCGCAAGAGAAACGCGACGCCGCCGACGCAGAUCUUGUCGCCGCCGCCGAGCACAGGAACCCUCGGAAGCCUCCCGAAGGGGCCAACCUGUUCGACAAAAUGCUCAAGGAGUCGUGCCCCUAUCAUCAGGGUCCCGUCAAGCACACCCUUGAGGAGUGCGUCAUGCUUCGGCGCUACUUCCACAAGGCCGAGCCCCCGGCGGAAGGUGGCAGAGCCCACGACAAUGACAAGAAGGAAGGCAACAAGGCAGAAGAGUUCCCCGAGGUCCAUGACUGCUUCAUGAUCUACGGUGGGCAAGUGGCGAACGCCUCGGCUCGACACCGCAAGCAGGAGCACCGGGAAGUCUGCUCGGUGAAGGUGGCGGCGCCGGUCUACCUAGACUGGUCCGACAAGCCCAUCACCUUCGACCAAGGCGACCACCCCGACCGCGUGCCGAGCCCAGGAAAGUACCCGCUCGUUGUAGAUCCUGUCAUCAGCAACGUCAGGCUUACCAAGGUCCUCAUGGACGGAGGCAGCAGCCUCAACAUCAUCUACGCCGAGACCCUCGGGCUCUUGCAGAUCGAUCUGUCCACGAUCCGGGCCGGUGCGGCGCCCUUUCAUGGGAUCAUUCCCGGGAAGCGCGUCCAGCCCCUUGGACAACACGAUCUGCCUGUCUGCUUCGGGACUCCCUCCAACUUCCGAAAGGAAACCCUCACGUUCGAGGUGGUCGGGUUCCGAGGAACCUACCACGCAGUGCUGGGGAGACCAUGCUACGCCAAGUUCAUGGCCGUCCCCAACUACACCUACCUCAAGCUCAAGAUGCCGGGCCCCAACGGGGUCAUCACCGUCGGAUCCACAUACCGACACGCAUACGAAUGCGACGUGGAGUGUGUGGAGUACGCUGAGUCCCUCGCCGAGUCCGAGGCCCUCAUCGCCGACUUGGAGAGCCUCUCCAAGGAGGUGCCAGAUGCGAAGCGCCACGCCGGCAACUUCGAGCCAGCAGAGGCGGUUAAGUCCGUCCCUCUCGACCCCAGCAACGACGCCUCCAAGCAAGUCCGGAUCAGCUCCGAGCUCGACCCCAAAUAGGAAGCAGUGCUCGUCGACUUUCUCCGCGCGAACGCCGAGGUUUUUGCGUGGAGUCCCUCGGACAUGCCUGGCAUACCGAGGGAUGUCGCCGAGCACUCGCUGGAUAUCCGAGCUGGAGCUCGACCCAUGAAGCAGCCUCUGCGCCAAUUCGACGAAGAAAAGCGCAGAGCCAUAGGCGAGGAGAUCCACAAGCUGAUGGCUGCAGGGUUCAUCAAAGAGGGUAUCACCAAAUCAGGAUGAAAGAGUCCGAUCAGCUUGCGACUUCUUUCAUCACACCCUUUGGCAUGUACUGCUAUAUUACUAUGCCAUUCAGUUUAAGGAAUGCAGGCGCGACAUACCAAAGGUGCAUGAACCACGUGUUCGGAGAGCACAUUGGCCGAACGGUCGAGGCUUACGUCGAUGACAUCGUAGUCAAGACGAGGAAAGCCUCCGACCUCCUCUCUGACCUUGAAACGACAUUCAAGUGUCUCAAGGCAAAAGGCGUAAAACUCAAUCCUGAGAAGUGUGUCUUCGGAGUCCCCCGAGGCAUGCUCCUGGGGUUCAUCGUCUCCGAGCGGGGCAUCAAGGCCAACCCGGAGAAAAUCGCGACCAUCACCAACAUGGGGCCUAUCAAGGAAUUGAAAGGAGUACAGAGGGUCAUGGGAUGCCUUGCGGCUCUGAGCCACUUCAUCUCGUGCCUCGGCGAAAGAGGCCUACCCCUGUACCGCCUCUUAAGGAAGACCGAGCGCUUCACUUGGACCUCCGAGGCCAAGGAAGCCCUCGGGAACUUAAAGGCGCUCCUUAUAAGCACGCCCAUCUUGGUACCCCCCGCUGCGGGAGAAGCCCUCUUGAUCUACGUAGCCGCAACCACUCAGGUGGUCAGAGCUGCGAUCGUAGUCGAGAGACGAGAAGAAGGGCAUACAUUGCUCGUCCAGAGACCGGUCUACUUCAUCCGUGAGGUACUAUCCAAGACCAAAAUCCGCUACCCGCAAAUUCAGAAGCUACUGUACGUGAUAAUUCUGACGCGGCGAAAGUUGCGACACUACUUCGAGUCUCAUCCGGUGACUGUGGUGUCAUCCUUCCCCCUGGGGGAGAUCAUCCAGUGCCGAGAGGCCUCGGGUAGGAUUGCAAAAUGGGCAGUGGAGAUCAUGGGCGAGACAAUCUCGUUCGCUCCUCGGAAGGCCAUCAAGUCCCAAGUCUUGGUGGACUUUGUGGCUAAAUGGGUCGACACCCAGCUUCCAGCAGCUCCGAUCCAACUAGAACUCUGGACCAUGUUUUUCGACGGGUCGCUGAUGAAAACAGGAGUGGGCGCGGGCCUGCUCUUCAUCUCACCCCUCAGAAAGCACCUCUGCUAUGUGUUAUGCCUCCAUUUCCCGGCAUCAAACAACGUGGCCGAGUACGAGGCUCUGGUUAACGGGUUGCGCAUCGCCAUCGAGCUAGGGGUUCGGCGCCUCGACGCUCAUGGCGACUCAGAGCUUGUCAUCGACCAAGUCAUGAAGAACUCCCACUGCCGCGACCUGAAGAUGGAGGCCUACUGCGACAAGGUUCGGCGCCUGGAAGACAAGUUCUACGGGUUCGAGCUCAACCACGUCGCCCGAUGGUACAACGAGACUGCGGACGAGCUGGCUAAAAUAGCCUCGUGGCGGACAACGGUCCCCCCGGACAUCUUCUCCCGAGACCUACACCAACCCUCCGUCAAGACCGAUGACACGCCCGAGCCCGGGGAGGCCUCGGCCCAGCCCGAGGCACCCUCGGCCCCCGAGGGUGAGGCUUUGCGUGUCGAGGAAGAGCGGAAUGGGGUCGCGCCUAAUCGAAACUGGCAGACCCCGUACCUGCAAUAUCUCCACCGAGGAGAGCUACCCCUCGACAGAGCCGAGGCUCGGCGACUAGCGCGGCACGCCAGGUCGUUCAUCUUGCUGGGUGACGAGAAGGAGCUCUACCACCACAGCCCCUCAGGCAUCCUCCAGCGAUGCAUAUCCAUCGCCGAAGGUCAGGAGCUAUUGCAAGAAUUACACUCGGGGGCUUGCGGUCAUCACGCAGCGCCUCGAGCCCUCGUUGGAAACGCCUUCCGACAAGGUUUCUACUGGCCAACCGCGGUGGCCGACGCCAUUAGGAUUGUACGCUCCUGCCGAGGGUGUCAGUUCUACGCAAGGCAGACACACCUGCCUGCUCAGGCCCUGCAAACAAUACCCAUCACCUGGCCGUUUGCUGUGUGGGGUCUGGACCUCGUCGGUCCCUUGCAGAAGGCACCCGGGGGCUUCAUGCACCUGCUGUUCGCUAUCGAUAAAUUGUCCAAGUGGAUUGAGGUCCGACCCCUAAACAGCAUCAGGUCCGAGGAGGCGGUGGCGUUCUUCACCAACAUCAUCCAUCGCUUUGGGGUCCCAAACUCUAUCAUCACCGACAACGGCACCCAGUUCACUGGCAGGAAGUUCCUGGACUUCUGCGAGGACUACCACAUCCGGGUGGACUGGGCCGCCGUAGCUCACCCCAUGACGAAUGGGCAGGUAGAGCGUGCCAACAUCAUGAUUCUGCAGGGACUUAAGCCGAGGAUCUACAACGACCUCAACAAGUUCGGCAGGCGAUGGAUGAAGGAACUCCCCUCGGUGGUCUGGAGUCUUAGGACGACGCCAAGCCAGGCCACGGGCUUCACGCCAUUUUUUCUAGUCUAUGGGGCCGAGGCUAUCUUGCCCACAGACUUAGAAUAUGGCUCCCUAAGGACAAGGGCGUACGACGACCGAAGCAACCAGACAAGCCGAGAAGACUCACUGGACCAGCUGGAAGAGGCUCGGGACAUGGCCUUGCUACACUCAACGUGGUAUCAACAGUCUCUGCGACGCUACCACGCCCGAGGGGUUUGGUCCCGAGACCUCCAGGUGGGGGACUUGGUGCUUCGGCUACGACAAGACGCCCGAGCGUGCCACAAGCUCACACCUCUUUGGGAAGGGUCGUUCAUCAUCGCCAAGAUUUUGAAGCUCGGAACAUACAAGCUGGCCAACAGUCAAGGCGAGGUCUACAGCAACGCUUGGAACAUCCGACAGCUACGUCGCUUUUACCCUUAAGAUGUUUUCAAGUCGUUCAUAUGCCUCGUUCUCUUUACAUACACGAAAAGAGUCUAACCAUCAAGGAAGGGUCAGCCUUGCCUCGGCAAAGCCUAACCCUCCCUCGGGGGCUAGAAGGGGGGAACCCCCUCUGCGUCAAAAUGUUCCUCGAAAAAAGUCUUUCUGCCAGAACAUCUUUCGCGCUUUUCGACUACUUCGAUAGCAGGAUCCUGAAAACGACAGAGUACACGUAAGCGGCAAGGCCGACCGAGCCGAGGGACUCCUACGCCUCCGGGAUACGGAUACCUCACUCAUCACCUUCUGCGAUAAGUAACUCACGCUCGGAUAAGCGAUUCUGCUGCCCAAACGAGUCCUAACGCUCGAAAACUUUUCUGCCAGAACGAUUUUUCGUGCCUUCUCGACUAUGUCGAUAACAGAAUCCUGUGGACGAGUAAGAGUACACGUAAGCGACGAGGGCGACCGAGCCAAGGGACUCCUAUGCCUCCGGGAUAUGGAUACCUCACUCAUCACCUUCCGCAAUAAGUAACUCUCGCUCGCACAAUUAAUUCUGCUACCGACAAACAAGUCCUGAUACUCGAAACAAGAGGAAAAGAAACGCAGCUUUAUAACACGACAAUGAUAUGUUUGGGCCUCAGCGGCCGCAAAAGACAUACGCAUGCUACAGACAAACUGUUCCUGCAGGUUUAGACAUCAACAGAGGGAACAGCUGCACCCUCGGCGUUGUUUCCACCUUCGGCGGGAUCUGGCCCGGCAUCGGACGACGACACGGGCGAAGGAUCUCCACCUCGAAGGAAGAUGUCAGCACCGCGCCUGGGCCAUCGCCGCCAGGGUCUCCUCCAGGAACCCGGCCCAAGCAGACGGCUUGUCCGGCCACUCCGUAGCCUCAGCCAGCUGUCCCCCGAGGGCAUCAGCCCGGCGCAUGGCCUCGUCAGCCCGACUCCGGGGUUGGUCCCGCCAGUGGAUGACCCGGCCCGGCUCCAGCCGCCACUGCUACGCCUCCUCGGGCUAGAAAGGGGAAACCCCCUCUGCGUAAAAAUUUUCCUCAGAAAAAGUCUUCCACCAAAAUGACUUUCGUGUUUCCCGGCUAUAUCAGUAACAGAACCCCGCGAAACGAAUAAGAUCGCGUGUAAGCGGCAAGGCCGACCGAGCCGAGGGACUCCUACGCCUUCGGGAUACGGAUACCUCACUUGUCACCUUCCGCGAAAAAUAACUCUUACUCGGAUAAGCGAUUCUGCUACUGACGAACAAGCCUGAAUACUCGAAACAGGAGGAAAAGAAACGCAACUUUAUAACACGACGACAAAGUGUUCAGACCUCGGUGGCCACGAAAGACACAUACAUGUUCAAAACAAACUGCUUCGGCAGAAUCAGGCAUCGCCCGGGGGAGGAGCGGCACCCUCGGCUUCGUCUCCACCCUCAGCACCGCUUCCACCCUCGGCGAGAUCCGCCCCGGCCUUGGACGGCAACGCAAGCGGAAGGAUUUCCACCUCGAAGGAGGAUGCCAACACCGUGCUUGGGCUCGCGGCGGCCGCGUCAAGCCUCUGAACUUCGGCCAGGGCAACUUCAUCUUCGUCGGGAAGACAGUACCCCUCGCUAACCCGCUCCAAUCCACAUCGUAGUGGGAAGCGAGCACGGCGAAGGCCCGCCUAACGCCGUGAUGCAGCGCCUCACGGAGUCUGCCGCGCACAUGGCCGCCCAAGGCCUGCAUGCGACUCUAGGGGAGCUUCCCGAGGGGACAUCGUCAAGACCGAAGACCUGGCAGAAGGCCGAGAUAGCUUCGGACAUGGCCACACGGUCGGCCUCCUUCUGCUCAGCCGUCUGGGCAAGUGCCUUGGCGGACUCGUUGAGGGCAGACUUGAACUUUGCAAACGACCAAAAUAGAAUUCUUUAAACACGAGUUGAAGGAUGAAGCUGAAUCAAACUCUCAAAGCAACCAAGACAUACCUUCAGCCCGGGCACGCUGCUCCGAGGCUGCGGCUUGGGCGGACUGGGCAGACCUGACGGCCACGGCCAGGUCCUCCGCAAGGGCUCCGGCCCGAGCAGACACCUCGGCUAGCUGGCCCCCAAGGGCCUCGGCCCGGCUUUCAGCCUCGGCAGCCUGGUUCCGAGAUUGGUCCCGCUCACCGAUGACCUGGCCAAGCUCCAACUGCCGCCGCUGCGCCUCUGCGCGUGCCACCGCUGCCUCCACCCCCAGCUCAUCACAAAGCAACCGAAGGUCCACCGCCUCGGCGCUCCGUUGGGAGAGGCACUCGGUAUCCUCGGCAAGCAUGGCCCUCAGGAACCGCAGCGAACCCCAGACGUCGGCCUCGCGGCGGACGAACGAUGACUUGGCGGUGCUCAGAUCCGUCAGAUCCUGAGGAAGGGAAGCAGGGCAUCACAAAGAGUGCCUUGAUCACGUGAAAGGUAUGCCUGAAAUCCUUACUUGGAGGAUCCUGGGAACGUUCCUGGAAAGGACCUCCAUGGUCGACCAAAGCGACCCCAUCGCGGCCUCGGCACACUCACGGAGCUCGUCCCGAGACUGCUCCUCCCGCUCAUCGUCAAGAACGAAGAGGGGCUUCGAGGCACCACGGGUCUAGAACUAGAGCGCCUCCCCACGCCGCUCAUUGGGAUCGCGCCGCGCGAGGAUGAGGUCGCCGCUCCCCAUGACGGGCCGCGGUUCUGUGCCCCUCUCCUCCAAGGCGUCAGGACCCCGUGCAGUCGGCGCAUCGGGUACCUCCUCAGCUAAGGGGGGAGGUUUCCGAUCACCGACCUCGAGUUGCAGCGCCUCAGCCAUCUCAGCAUCAGCAGCGACGAGUGACUCCACGGGCAGAACGGCAACAGCCUCGACAGAAGCUGGUGCCGGCGCCGACAACAUGUCAGGUGGGCUCAAGGCCACGGCCACUCCAGCAGUCUCCCCUGGCACGACGGUCGCCUUGACGGAGGGGUCAGCCUAGGGAGCUCGCCCCACGGCAACUCGUGCUGCCUGGCCCCCCCGCUCUGGGGCAUCUUGUGAGGAGGCCAGCCGACCGGCAUGGCCCGGUGUGGCACCGGCUGCAGAAGCCAGUACCGUCUUAAGGACCUUCCGGGGAGCCAGACCGGUCGAACCGUGCCUCCGUUUGCUGGGAAUAAAAGGAAAAGCAGGAUCAGGACACACGAAGAAGGAGCCGGGACAGAGGUAUCCUCAGAUACUUACCCACUCCGGACCAAGGCCAAUCGUGCCUGCGGGGAGGCCCCUCGGGCCUCGGUCCCCACGGGCACUACUGAGGUUUGCCCCGCUGCCGGCUUCGGCACCAUACCCGCCUCGGGCGCCCGGGACGCCGAAGGGACGGUCUGCCCAGGCGCAGUCGCAACGACCGGAGGAUCGACCUCUUGUGCGGCCGGCACGGGCGACAGUUCUUGGGGGACAGGCGGGUCGGCCUGACUCCCCGGGGUCACCUCAACUACCUCGGCCGAGGGAUCAAGUACCCCCUUAGCCUGUCCCUGUUCUUCGGACCAGGACCCUGAUGUCCCGGCCCCAGAUACCGACGGUGCCAGCCCACUCGGGGGCUGGCUCGACGACCCCUAGCCCAGCCUCAGAUCCGGGCUGAGACCAAGGCGGGCCGCCAUGUCGUCGUCUUCGUCAUCAUCAUCGUCAUCGUCGUCAUUGGGCGUCUCCGGCGACGGCUCCCUCGGGAGCCCGUCCCUCUCUUGCCUCCGGCGGCGCCUCUCCAAGGUGUCCUGAGCCCGCAUCCGCUCGCGAGCCCGAGCCUUUUUCGCGUCCUUCUUCUCCUUCUUCUCCGCGGCGACCCUCCGCGUGGCUCGGUCCACCUCGUCCUCCGGGACUGGUGGCAGGGAAGGCUUGUGAAACCCCAACUCCUAGAGACGGACAGAAAUCUCGGCUGUGAGAACCAAGGGCAAUCUGACACAAGAAAGAAGAAGGAGCGGACACUCACCAGGGAUAUGCACCCGCGCUCGGAAAGCAUCAAGGGCUGGGUAAGGGCGUCGGCGUCUAGCCUCCCUACUAUGCCGGCUACCUGCCUGUGGAGGUCAUCGGCGGGGAGGGGGGACCGAGGACAUAUGCGAACCCUCCAAGUCGACCCCCGGUGUCAUCUCCGAAAGCAGCAACUGCCGCUCCGUCAAGGGAAGCACCCUCCGGCGAUGGAUGGCGGCAACCACCCCCGCGGCGGUAAGCCCUCCGCCUCGCAGCUUCUGCAAGGCCUCUAGGAGGGGCUGGAGAUUCUUCUGUUUCUCGCACGCGGCCCAAUAGCGCCAGUUGCUGCUGGCGGCGGUCACCACUCGUUGAGAAAACGACGGGAGCCUCCCAUCGUCAUUCCGGAGGUAAAACCACCGGCGCUGCCACCCCUUGUUCGAGGACACAAGGAUGGCGGGGAUGUACUGUUGCGCGCGCGCCUGCCUCAAUUGGAGGAUGCAGCCACCGGCCCGCACCGCCAUGCGGACUCUCUUUUCCCCUGUCGUCAAGGCAAAAGGCUUCGCGGAGAAGAGAUGGGUCCACAGAUCCCAGUGGGGGUCAAUCCCCAAAAAUCCUUCGCAAACCGCCGCGAAGAUGGCCGCUUGCACGAUGGAGUUGGGGUUGAGAUUGUGCAGCUCCACCCCAUAGAAAUGCAGGAUCGCCCGCAUGAAACGGCUUGCUGGCACUCCAAACCCCCGCUCAUGGAAGGAGACGAAACUCAGCACAUACCCCGGCGGUGGGGUCGGGGCGGCCCCGCUUGGAGGGACCAUCCACUCCGGCUGCGGGUCACCAGAGAGGGGACGGAGCAAGCCAUCGGCGACAAGGGCCUCCAGGUCGUCCACCGUGACGGCGGAGAAAGGCCACGGGUCGCGCGGCGGAACGACGGUUACCCGGUCAGCCAUCGCCAAGCGAAGGGGGCGGCGGCGGAGCGGACAAGGUGUGUGGUUUCCUUUCUCUGGCUAUUCCUUUGGGUUGCGGAAACCAAAGCAGGAGGCGAGCAGCAGAGUAAAGAACCACCACCGGUCCCUCUUCCGGAUAUAUAAAGGCCCGGGCAAGACCCGUUCAACACUUCGCCCGAACCCGCCGUGAAAUUCAAACUCGAAGGCGAAACGCCCGUUUCUCGAACGAUUCGUGCAUGCACAACGGCUGCCCUGCGAACCACCCGUCCCAUCGCAUUAACUUCGCGGCAGGGCAGGCAACACCUUUGGCAGGUGAAGCGAGCGACGUUUCACCUCCGCCAUAAUAACCGCGUCAAAAAAGGUGCGCCACAUCGUUUAAAUUCGUAUCCUUUUCCUCUUCCCCUUUCUCUCUCUUGCUACAGGGACCGGGAAAGGGGAUACCCCGAAAGGGAUCCUUCUCCGCGAAGGAAGUGGGCCCCGAGCCCUCCUACUGAUCAGAGGUUCGAAGGCUGGCCCCUCGGAAGGGUUCAACAGCCGCCUGAGAGCACUCGGGCUCCGCGCCCACUGCUAGUCAGAGGUUCGAAGGCUGGCCCCUCGGAAGGGUUCGACAGCCGCCCCAGGCCACUCGGGCUCCGCGCCCACUACUGAUCAGGGGUUCGAAGGCUGGCCCCCCGAAGGGUUCGACAGCCGCCUUAGAACACGCAGAGCGAGGGAUGACUUUGGGUACGUCCGAUACAUGGCCGAGGCUCGGGCUACGCUCCCGAGGUACCCUAGGACAUUUCCGAGACCGGCAGGAGCGAUUCUGUAACGGAAUCCCAUCAGAGGGAGGCAUCGAGCCCUCGAACCCUAUCAAACGGGAUUGGGUCCGACAAAUCACCUGCAGGUACUUUUGGAGCGCGCCUCUGGGCCACUAGCCGACCCUUAUCGAACGGGGCACGGGCGUCCACUCGGAUCACCCGUUAGCAACUCACUGGAGACACCAUGUUCGGCGCCCUCCGAGGGCAACAUGGCUCUUUCCCCCCUCCUCCUUGCGGAAAGGCGACGAAGGGGCGUAUGAUAAAAGCCGAGUCAGUCCUUGACCGUCCUCUUGCUCUGUGCAGAGGCUCGGGGGCUGCUCUCGCAAACCCGGCUCCGGCCAAACCGUUGACAGCGUCAACAUACCAGCCCGAGAACUCGGAACCUGACCAUGCACCCGGGCUACGACCAGAUAGCAUGAGGGAACAACCAGACCGGCCGAGGCAUCACGAAAGGCAUUAAGACCUCGGAGGAGUCAAACCACUCCUCCAAGGCCUCGGGGGCUACACCCGGCGGGUGUGCUCGCGCGCACCCACCGGAACAAAAUGUAACCGAGAAAGGUCGGUCCCCUUGCAAAAAAGUGCGACAAAGCCUCCAAGCGAGUACCAACACUCCCUUUGAGGCUCGGGGGCUACUGUCAGGGACCAUAAUUAGGGGUACCCCCAAGACUCCUAAACUCGGCUGGUAACCACCAUCAGCACAAGCUGCAAAGGCCUGAUGGGCGCAAUAUAGGUCAAAGCUCCGUCCACUCAAGGGACACGAUCUCGCCUCGCCCGAGCCCAGCCUCAGGCAGGAACAGUAGACCCAGGUGGAUUCACGCCUUGCCCGAGGGCCUCCUCAAGCAACAGGCGCACCUUCGACUCGCCCAAGGCCCAGCUCGGGCAGGCUUCGCAGUGAAGCAACCUUGGCCAGAUCGCCUCGCCAACCGACCGUAUCGCAGGAGCAUUCAAUGCAAGGAUCGCCUGACACCUUAUCCUGACGCGCGUUCCUCAGUCGAUAGGGCUGAAGUGACCGCAGUCACUUCGCCCCUCCACUGACUGACCUGACAGGAAAACAGCGCCGCCUGCCCUGCUCCGACUGCUGUGCCACCCGCCAGGGUGAGGCUGACAGCCGCCGAGUCCAGCCUUAGGCGCCAUAGGAAGCUCCGCCUUGCCCGACCCCGGGGCUCGGCCGCCGCCUCGACCUCGGAAGACGGUCUCCGCCUCGCCCGACCCCAGGGCUCGGACUCAGCCUCGACCUCGGAAGACGGUCUCCGCCUCGCCCGACCCUAGGGCUCAGACUCGACCUCGACCUCGGAAGACGGUCUCCGCCUCGCCCGUCCCCAGGCCUCGGACUCAACCUCGACCUCGGAGGAGUCCUCGCCUCGCCCGACCUUGGGCUCGGACCGACCACGUCGCAGGGGGGUACAUCAUUACCCUAUCCCUAGCUAGCUCAGGCUACAGGGAACAAGACCGGCGUCCCAUCUGGCUCGCCCCGGUAAAACAAGUAAUGAUGGCACCCCGCAUGCUCCCAUGACGACGACGGUUCUCAGCCCCCUACGGAAGCAAGGAGACGUCAGCAAGGUCUCGAUAGCCCCGACAGCUGUGCUUCUACAGGGCUCAAGCGCUCCUCCGACAGCCACGACGCCACAUGCACAGGGCACUAACACCUCUCCGACAGACACAUCGGCAUGUACAUAGGACUCUGGCUCCUCUCUGCCGGACACGUUAGCAUACUGCUACACCCCCCAUUGUACACCUGGGCCCUCUCCUUACGUCUAUAAAAGGAAGGUCCAGGGCCCUCGUAUGAAAAGGUGGCCGCGCGGGAGGACGGGCUGACGAACAGGCUCUCUCCCUCUCUCGCGAACGCUUGUAACCCCCUACUGCAAGCGCAUCCGCCCUGGGCGCAGGAUAACACGAGCCACGGUUCCCCUCUUGUUUCCCCCUUGUGUUCCAUCUCGUGCCGACCCAUCUGGGCUGGGACACGCAGCGACAAUUUACUCAUCGGUCCAGGGACCCCCCGGGGUCGAAACGCCGACAUAUACUAAGUGAAAUCCUCAAAGCAUAGUGAGAGAAAUAAAGAGUAGAACCAUGGUACGUCAUUGUUCUUCCAUGAACAUCUAGCCCAAAUUAAAGAACAAUAGUAUAUCUACAGCCAUCAUCUCAAAAACUUCAGUGGAGAAAAUAAAUGAUGAGAUAUACAACUCAGGCUAAUAUUUCUUCAAUACAAUCUGGUCAGAAAAUCUGAGAAAUCAACAUACCGAUCGAGUCUUCUUAAAAACCCAACGGGAAAAAUAAGGACAAUAAUAACGAUUUAUUAUUGAUCCAUUUAAACUUUUAUGAGAUAAACUCAUAACCUAGUUCAAAUACAACAAUAUCCAUGUCAUAAUGCAUCAUCCUCGAAAACCCCUAUGAAAAAUAGAUAAUACGUCGUAGACUUUGUGUUGAUGUUGCCUCGUUAAAAACUUUGAAUGAUAAACCCAAAAUGGCAACAAAAACUCAUGCAAAAAAAAGAGUACAACAUGGUGUACAAACAAGUUCUUCCGAUCAAAGAGGAAACUCUCCUUAAUCCUUGCAAAUCACUAAACCAUCCCAUACCAGCUCUCAAACCCAUUUCAAAUGUGGAGUAAGGUAGAGACUUACUUCGUAACUUGUUUUCAUCUAAGCAACACAAAGUGAUAUUAUUUCAUAGAUAAUAAGGUAAGUUAUAGAAAAUCAUGACCACCAUAUACCCUCAAUAUGUAUUUUAUCAUUCUGUACAAUCACACAAAGUGGGCCACAAAAUGAUAAGUGUAAGUGUCGGUGUUUCGAAACCCGGGGGGUCCCUAGACCGACGAGUGAAUCGUCGCCGCGUGCCCCAGCCCAGAUGGGUUAGCGCGAGGCGGAACGCGAAGGGGGGAGAGAGCAGCCGGAGGGAGACAGGCGUGGGAGGUGGAACCCGCGGCCUUCGUGUUAGCCCCGCGCCCAGGUCGGGUGCGCUUGCAGUAGGGGGUUACAAGCGUCCACGCGGGAGGGAGCGAGCGGCCUUGCGUGAGCGCCGUCCCGUCCUUCCCCGCGCGGCCAACCCUCUGUAAGAGGGCCCUGGACCUCCCUUUUAUAGGCGUAAGGAGAGGAUCCAGGUGUACAACGGGGGUGUAGCAGUGUGCUAACGUGUCUAGCGGUGGAGAGCUAGCGCCUUAAGUACAUGCCAUCGUGGCAGCCGGAGAGGUUUUGGCACCCAGUUCGCGUGAUGUCGUGGCCGUCGGAGGAGCGCUGGAGCCUGGCGGAAGGACAGCUGUCGGGGCUGUCGAGUCCUUGCUGACGUCCUCUUGCUUCCGUAAGGGGACUGAGAGCCACCGUCAUCACAGGGCAUGCGGGGCGCCAUCAUUACUCGUAUAGUGGAGCGAGCCAGAUGGGACACCGGUCUUGUUCCCCGUAGCCUGAGUCAGCUCGGGGUAGGGCAAUGAUGGCGCUUCCUGUUGACGUGGUCGGUCCAUGCCCUAGGUUGGGCGAGGUGGAGGCUCCUCCGAGGUCGAGGUCGAGUCUGUCUUCCGAGGUCGAGGUCGAGUCCGAGCCCCCAGGUCGGACAAGGCGGAGCCCGUCGGCUGAGGCUAGGGCUGAGUCCGAGCCUUGGGGUCGGGCGAAGCGGGGUUCGUCGUCUUCCGGGGCUGAGCCCGUGUCCGAGCCCUAGGGUCGGGCGAAGCGGAGUUCGUCGUCUUCCGGGGCUGAGCCCGUGUCCGAGCCCUGGGGUCGGGCGAAGCGGAGUUCGUCGUCUUCCGGGGCUGAGCCCGAGUCCGAGCCUAGGGGUCAGGCGAAGCGGAGUUCGUUGUCUUUCGGGGCUGAGCCCGAGUCCGAGCCCUGGGGUCGGGCGAAGCGGAGUUCGUCGUCUUCCGGGGCUGAGCCCGAGUCCGAGCCCUGGGGUCGGGCGGAGCGGAGUUCGUCGUCUUCCGGGGCUGAGCCUUAGUCCGAGCCCUAGGGUCGGGCGAAGCAGAGUUUCCUAUGACGCCUGAGGCCGGACUUGGCUGCUGUCAGCCUCACUCUGUCGAGUGGCUCAGCAGUCGGAGCGGCGCAGGCGGCACUGUCCUCUUGUCAGACUGGUCAGUGGAGCGGCGAAGUGACUGCGGUCACUUUGGCUCUAUCGACUGGAGGGCGUGUGUCAGGAUAAAGGUGUCAGGCCACCUUUGCAUCAAAUGCCCCUGCGAUUUGGUCAGUUGGCAAGGCGAUUUGGCCAAGGUUGCUUCUUGGUGAAGACUGGGCCUCGGGCGAGCCGAAGGUGUGUCCGUUGCCGGAGGGGGUCCUCGGGCGAGACGUAGAUCCUCUGGGGUCGGCUGCCCUUGCCCGAGGCUGGGCUCAGGCGAGGCGUGAUCGCGUCCCUCGAAUGGACCGAUUCUUGACUUAAUCGCACCCAUCAGGCCUUUGCAGCUUUAUGCUGAUGGGGGUUACCAGCUGAGAUUUAGGAGCCUUGAGGGUACCCCUAAUUGUAGUCCCCGACAGUAGCCCCCGAGCCUCGAAGGGAUUGUUAAUACUCGCUUGGAGGCUUUUGCCGCAGUUUUUUGCAAGGGGCCAGCCUUUUUUUGUUGCAUUUUGUUCCGGUGGGUGCGCGCGAGCGCACCCGCCGGGUGUAGCCCCUGAGGCCUCGGAGGAGUAGUUUGACUCCUUCGAGGUCUUAGUGCGUUUUGCAACACUUCGGCUGGUCUAGUUGUUCCCUCAUGCGAGCUGGCCGUAGCCCGGGUGCACGGUCGGGUCCCAAGUUCUCGGGCUGGUAUGUUGACGCUGUCAACGGGUUGGCCGGAGCCGGGUUUGCGAGAGAAGCCCCCGAGCCUCUGCACAGGGCGAGAGGACGGUCAAGUACAGACUCGACAUUUUUACAUACGCCCCUGCGUCGCCUUUCCGCAAGGAGGAGGGGGGAAAGCGCCAUGUUGCCCUUUGAGGGCGCCGAACAUGGUGUCUCCGGUGAGCUGUUGGCGGGUAAUCCGAGUGGACGCCCGUGCCCCAUUUGUUAGGGGUCGGCUAGAGGCCCAGAGGCGCGCUCCAAAAAUAUCUGCGGGUGAUUUGCCGGACCCGGUCCCCUUUUGACGGGGUCCGAGGGCUCGAUGCCUCCCUCUGAUGGGAUUCCGUUACAAGAUCGUUCCCGCUGGUCUCAGAAAUGUCCUAGGGUACCUCGGGAGCGUAGCUCGAGCCUUGGUUAUGUAUCGAACGUACCCAGGGUCAUCCCUCGCUCUGUGUCUGAGGCGACUGUGAACCCGUCGAGGGCCAGCCUACGAACCCCUGAUCAGUAGUGGGCGCGGAGCCCGAGUGGCCUGAGGCGGCCGUUGAACCCUUCCGAGGGGCCGGCCAUCGAGCCUCUGACCAGUAGUGGGCACAGAACCCAAGCGCUCUGAGGCGGCCGUUGAACCCCUCCGAGGGGCCGGCCUUUGAACCUCUGAUCAGUAGGGAGGCUCGGGGCCUGUUUCCUUCACGGAGAAGGAUCCUUUUCGGGGUAUCCCCCUUUCCCGGUCCCUGUUAUAAGAGAGAGAAAGAGGAAAAGGAAAAGAAUACGAAAUCGAAUGACGUGGCGUACCUUUUUCGACGCGGUCAUUAUGGCGAUGGCGAAGCCUCGCUUGCUUCUCCCGCCUGAGGCGCCGCCUAUCCCGCCGCGGAGUUAAUGCGACGGGGCGAGUGGUUCGCGAGGCGGUCGUUGCGUGUGUGCGAGCCGUUCGAGGAACGGAUCACGGGCGCGCCGUCUUCACGCCAUGAGAGAGGGUUCUCUCGCUGCCCCUGGAUGGGACGUAAGCUUGGCUGACGACGUGACCGCUGCUCCUGCCCGCCUACCACCGCCAUUACUGCCGGCCCAUUUUUGACCGUAUUGAUCGUCGCGCCUGGCUAGCACUGCUGGGUCAUACGCAGGGUUGCCUCGAGUCGCGGUGCUGGUUCCGCAGUCGAGGAGUCGCGGUAGUGGUGCGAGUGGCGGUGUUGUUGCUCGCACGUAGCAACCGGCACGCCGGUUGCAUGACGCGUGGGCCUGGGCCUUCAUGCUGGGUGUGUUGGAAGUCGGAGGGGCGCGCCCACUUGGCACGGUUGCAUGCCACCUGCAUGGCUGUCCGCCCUUUCACCCACUGGUCUGGGUGAAAGUGGAGGAGUGCUUGUAACCAGCGGGCGGUUGCAUGCACCGCGCGCGGCGGUUUGGCUUCUUCUGCCCUUGACCGGCUUGCAUGACGCGUGGGACCCAGCCCCCGCGCCGUAAGGGGAGGACCUUGGAGUGUGUUGGAGAAGACUCAGCCCGCGAUGGCUGAGGACGCAAGCGGGGAGAGUCGCCUUUAAAAGGAGGGUGACCUCCUUGAAAGGCGGCCAUGUCUUCGCGCUCCCUUAUGCACCGUGUCUUUCCACCUUCUGAGCCCCCGGAUGGGGGACGCCCGCAAUCCUUCCGUCUUAUCAUCGGAGGAACGCAACUUCUUGGAAGUUGGUACCUUUCGGCCAUCGUUCGGCUUCAAGGAUUUUCAUCAUGCAGCCCGGCUGCAUCCCCUCGCCGGUGGUCACCCAAGACGGUGACCACCAGCCUCUGGGUGGGGAGGAGCAAGCCAGACUGCGAUCUUGGUCCCGCCCUCAGCUUCAAGGAUGUUCAUCAUCCUUGCUGGGGCGGAGGCCGGGCUGAGCCAGAGCUCUACCUCCCGCGCGAGUUCGUGGGUCAGCCUCCCCUUCAGCAUUCAAGGGAGAGGGCGCUCACUGGCCCUGCGAGCGGGGCGGACUUUGACAACGCGGGGCUGGUCGACGGCGGGCGUCGCCAGCUUCAGCACGUUGGGCUCGCCGGCUUGGCUCCCGGUGCCCCCUCCCGCCGCAAGGGCGGUUGUCGCACCGUGCGCACGGGUGGACCUCCCAAGACAUCGCGCGCCGCUAGAGCGACGUUCGUGUUCUGGGGCUGUCUUGCCUUUGCACCGGUACGGGGCCUCCGCGCGGAGGUCGGUGCUCCGCUCGUCUGGGAGGAUCCGAGUGGGGAUCUGCCGAUGGGCUGACGCUCCGGUCGUCGGUGCCGAGGUGGAUGCGGCUCGAGAAGUCCCCGUCGCCGACGGGAUCACUGCCACCAUCCGCGCUCCGGGCCUCCGGCUCUUUGUACUUGUCCUCGCCCCUCGAGCGUCGGCGUGGGCGAGGGCAAGGUUGCAGCGGCGUCCGCCCUGAGGCCAUCGUUGCGGCUGUGGGGACGGAACCGGAGUUCCGUUUGUAUUGGCACUUUGAAUGCCGGUGUUUUGUUCAUUGCGGCUGUCGGGGCCUGAACAUGUAUGUAUUCUCGGCGCGGAGCCAUGUUUUUUCUUCAUUUCGAGCACUAAGACUCGCCUGUUGGUUAUCAGAACCGCUUCACCAAGCCUGAGUCGCCUCGUGCGAAGGUGACGAGUGAGGUAUCCGUAUCCCAGAGGCGUAGGAGUCCCUCGGCUCGGUCGGCCUUGCUGUCCGAGGCUUCUCUUGCUUAUUUAAAGGAACCCUCGGUCGCUCUUCGAUGAGCCGAAGCCGGAGGUAGCGGUAUCAGCACGGACAGAGGCAGAGUUGGCUUCAAAAAGAAGAUGUGGUCGGCCGGAGCCUGGCCGGGUUGUCCACUGGCGGGACCGACGCCGGAGUUGAGCUGCCGAGGCCACAAACCGGGCUGAUAUCUCCGGGGGUCAGCCGGCCGAGGCCUCAGGGUGGCCGGCCGAGCCGUCUGCUCGAGCCGGAUUCCUGGAGAAGAGAUCCUUCAGAGUAGAGAUCCUCCAACCGCGUCACCGUCCGAGGCUAGGUCGGACCUCACCGAAGGUGUGGUUGACGCCAAGGGUGCUGCUGCCCCCUUCAACUGUCGACGUCCAGGCCUGCAGGAUCGGGUUGUCUUGUAGUGUGUGUAUGUUUUCUGCAGCCGCCGAGGCCCAAACACACUAUUGUCGUGUUGUAAAGCUGCAUUUCUUUUCCUCUUGUUUCGAGUACCCAGACUUAUUUGUUGGUAACAGAAUUGUUUGUGCGGGCGAGAGUUGCUUUUUACGGAAGGUGAUGAGUGAGGUAUCCGUAUCCCGGAGGCGUAGGAAUCCCUCGGCUCGGUCGGCCUUGCCGCUUACGCGCACUCUUACUCGUCCAUAGGGUUCUGUCACCGACGCAGUCGAGAAUGCUCAAAAAAUCGUUCCGGCAGAGAAGCUUUCGAGCGUGAAGACUUGUUCGGUCCGCGGAAUCACUUAUCCGAGCGCGAGUUACUUAUCGCAGAAGGUGAUGAGUGAGGUAUCCGUAUCCCGGAGGCGUAGGAGUCCCUCGGCUCGGUCAGCCUUGGCUGCUUACGUGUACUCCGUCGUUUUCAAGAUCCACUUUCGAAGUAGUCGAAAAGCACGAAAGGCAUUCUGGCAGGAAAGAUUUUUUUCUUUUUUCGAGGAAAAUUUCGACGCAGAGGGGGUUCCCCCCUUCUAGCCCCCGAGGGAGGGUCGGGCUUUGCCGAGGCAAGGCUGACCUUUCCUUGGCGACCAGACUUUGUGUGUGAACGGGGUGUACGAAUAACUUGGAAGCAUCUUAAGGGUAGAAGCGACGUAGCUAUUGGAUGUUCCAAGCGUUACUGUAGACCUCGCCUUGACUGUUGGCCAGCUUGUAUGUUCCGGGCUUCAGAACCUUGGUGAUGACGAACGGCCCUUCCCAGGGAGGCGUGAGCUUAUGCCGCCCUCGGGCAUCUUGUCUUAGCCGAAGCACCAGGUCGCCCACCUGGAGGUCUCGGGACCGAACCCCUCAGGCGUGGUAGCGUCGCAGGGACUGCUGGUACCGCGUCGAGUGUAGUAAGGCCAUGUCCCGAGCCUCCUCCAGCUGGUCCAGCGAGCCUUCUCGAUUAGCUCGAUUGCUUUGGUCGGCGUAGGCCCUCGUCCUCGGGGAACCGUAUUCUAAGUCUGUGGGCAAGAUGGCCUCGGCCCCAUAGACUAGAAAGAACGGUGUGAAGCCCGUGGCUCGGCUCGGCGUUGUCCUCAGACUCCAGACCACCGAGGGGAGCUCCUUCAUCCAUCGCUUGCCGAACUUGUUGAGGUCGUUGUAGAUCCGAGGCUUGAGUCCUUGUAGAAUCAUGCUGUUGGUACGUUCUACCUACCCAUUCAUCAUGGGAAGAGCCACGGCGGCCCAGUCCACCCGGAUGUGGUGGUCCUCGCAGAAGUCCAGGAACUUUCUGCCAGUGAACUGGGUGCCGUUGUCGGUGACGAUGGAGUUCGGGACCCCAAAGCGAUGGAUGAUGUUGGUGAAGAACGCCACCGCCUGUUCGGACCUGAUGCUGUUUAGGGGUCGGACCUCGAUCCACUUGGAGAAUUUGUCGAUGGUGACCAGCAGGUGCGUGUAGCCCCCGGGUGCCUUCUGCAAGGGGCCGACUAGGUCCAGACCCCACACGGCAAACGGCUAGGUGAUGGGUAUGGUCUGCAGAGCCUGAGCGGGCAGGUGGGUCUGCCUCGCGUAGAAAUGACACCCUUCGCAGGUGCGGACAAUUCUAGUGGCGUCGGCCACCGCCGUCAGCCAGUAGAAACCUUGUCGGAAGGCGUUUCCAACAAGGGUUCGAGGUGCUGCGUGAUGGCCGCAAGCCCCCGAGUGUAUCUCUUGUAAGAGCUUCUGACCUUCGGCGAUGGAAAUGCAUCGCUGGAGGAUGCCCGAGGGGCUGCGGUGGUAGAGCUCCUUCUCAUCUCCCAGCAAGACGAACGACUUGGCGUGCCGCGCCACUCGCCGAGCUUCGGCUUGGUCGAGGGGUAGCUCUCCUCAGUGGAGAUAUUGCAGGUACGGGGUCUGCCAGUUUUGAUUAGGCGCGUCCCCGCUCCGCUCCUCCUUGAUGUGCAGUGCCUCACCCUCGAGGGCCAAGGGUGGCAUACCGAGGGACUCCACUCGAAAACGUCGACGUUUGCACGGAGAAAGUCGACGAGCACUGCUUCCUAUUUGGGGUCGAGCUCGGAGCCGAUCCGGAUCUGCUUGGAGGCGUCGUUGCAGGGGUCGAGAGGGACGGACUUAACCGUCUCCGCUGGCUCGAAGUUGCCGGCGUGGCGCUUCACGUCGGGCGCCUCCCUAGAGAGGCUCUCCAGGUCGGCGAUGAGGGCCUCGGACUCGGCGAGGGCCUCGGCGUACUCCACGCACUCCACGUCGCAUUCGUACGCUUGUCGGUACGUGGGCCCGACAGUGAUGACCCCGUUGGGGCCCGACAUCUUGAGCUUGAAGUAGGUGUAGUUGGGGACGGCCAUGAACUUGGCGUAGCAUGGCCUCCCCAACACUGCGUGGUAGGUUCCCCGAAACCCGACCACUUCGAACGUGAGGGUCUGCCUUCGAAAGUUAGAGGGCGUCCCGAAGCAGACGGGUAGAUUGAGUCGUCCGAGGGGUUGGACGCGCUUCCCGGGGAUGAUACAGUGGAAAGGCGCAGCGCCCGUCCGGACCGAGGUCAGAUCGAUCCACAGGAGCCCAAGGGUCUCGACGUAGAUGAUGUUGAGGCUGCUGCCUCCGUCCAUGAGGACCUUGGUGAGCCUGGCGUUGCCGAUGAUAGGGUCGACAACGAGCGGGUAUUUCCCCGGGCUCGGCACGUGGUCUGGACGGUCGGCCUGGUCGAAGGUGAUGGGCUUGUCGGACCAGUCUAGGUAGACUGGCGCCGCCACCUUUACCGAGCAGACCUCCCGACGCUCUUGCUUGCGGUGCCGAGCCGAGGCGUUUGCCACUUGCUCACCGUAGAUCAUGAAGCAGUCGCAGACCUCGGGGAACUCUCCUGCCUUGUGAUCUUCCUUAGCGUCGUCGAGGGCCUUGCCACCCUCCGCGGGUGGCCCGGCCUUGUGAAAGUGGCGUCGAAUCAUGGCACACUCCUCAAGGGUGUGCUUGAUGGGCCCCUGAUGAUAGGGGCACGACUCCUUGAGCAUCUUGUCGAAGAGGUUGGCACCUCCUGGAGGUUUCCGAGGGUUCUUGUACUUGGCGGCGGCGACAAGGUCCGCGUCGGCGGCGUCGCGUUUCGCUUGCGACUUCUUCUUGCCUUUCUUCUUGGCGUCGCGCCGAGUUGACGCCUCGGGAACAUCUUCCGAUGGGCGGCCCUGGGGUUGCUUGUCCUUCCAGAAGAUGGCCUCAACCGCCUCCUGGCCAGAGGCGAACUUGGUGGCGAUGUCCAUCAGCUCGCUCGCCCUGGUGGGGGUCUUGCGACCUAGCUUGCUCACCAAGUCGUGACAGGUGGUGCCGGCGAGGAACGCGCCGAUGACAUCCGAAUUGGUGACGUUGGGCAGCUCGGUGCGCUGCUUCGAGAAUCGCCGGAUGUAGUCCCGAAGAGACUCUCCUGGCUGCUGGCGGCAGCUUCGGAGAUCCCAGGAGUUUCCAGGGCGCACGUACGUGCCUUGGAAAUUGCCGGCGAAGGCUUGGACCAGGUCGUCCCAGUUGGAGAUCUGCCCCGGAGGCAGGUGCUCCAGCCAGGCUCGAGCGGUGUCGGAGAGGAACAAUGGGAGGUUGCGGAUGAUGAGAUUAUCAUCGUCCGUUCCACCCAGUUGGCAGGCCAGCCGAUAGUCCGCGAGCCACAGUUCCGGUCUCGUCUCCCCCGAGUACUUUGUGAUAGUAGUCGGGGUUCGGAACCGGGUCGGGAACGGCGCCCGUCGUAUGGCGCGGCUGAAAGCCUGCGGACCGGGUGGUUCGGGCGAAGGACUCCGAUCCUCCCCGCUGUCGUAGCGUCCCCCACGUCUGGGGUGGUAGCCUCGGCGCACCCUCUCGUCGAGGUGGGCCCGAUGGCUGUGGUGAUGGUGCUCGUUGCCGAGGCGACCCGGGGCCGCAGGCGCUGUGUUGCGCGUGCGCCCGGUGUGGACCGAGGCUUCCCGCAUGAAUCGGGAAGUCGUGGCGCGAUGUUCCGAGGAGUACCCCUGCCUUCGGGAGGCGGAGCUUUCGGCCCGUCGGAUCGCGGCGUCCUCCAGGAGAUUCUUGAGCUCUUUCUGGAUACGCCCCCCUCGGUGGUUGAUGGCUCCGGCAUCGCGCGGAGAAGUAUUGCUGCUGCAGCUAGGUUCUGGCCGACUCCACUGGAAACCGGUGGCGGCCUUACCCCGACGUCGUCGGCGAUGCGGUGCUGGAUGCCCUGGGGGAGAUGACAUGCUUCUCCGGCCGGAGGUUGGCCCGCCCAUUCCUGCCCGAUGUCCCGGCGGAUCGGCACAAGCGUUCCUGCUCCCUCGUCGAGCCUGGCCUGCAUCUCGUGGACUUGCUCGAGCUGUGGGUCAGGCCCCCCACCGGGACGGGGACCACAGCUAGCUCCCGAAGGAUGUCGACGCGAGGCACGGGCCUAGGGGGAUCACCGUUCUUCGGCAUACCAAGAUGGUUGCCUUCGCCGGGACCCCCUAGAUCGACGUGGAAACAUUCACGACUUGGGUCGCAGUCCUCGUCGUCGAGGCUGCGGCUACCGUCGGAACAGUCGGAAAGGCAGUAGUCGCAUGCGGUCAUGAAGUCCCGCAUGGCACUGGGGUUACCAAGUCCGAAGAAAUCCCAACAGAGGUUGGGCUCGCCAUCUUCCUCGGACCCCGAGGGCCCGUAGGUCGAGACGGCCGUCAGCCGGUCCCAGGGUGACCGCACACGAUAUCCCAGAGGGUUUGGACUCGCCUCUAUGAGAAUGUCCACCGAAGCAGAGUUGCUAGGCGGGUCGAGGCCCAAUCCAAAAGGCGUGAGAUGGGAAUCAGUCGGUACCUUUUGGUCGACGGGCGGUGACGAAGUCACGUCAGGGACUGACUGCACCGUCGUCUCUGGUACGAGGGUGACGCCCAACAAGUCCUUCGCGAGCAUGCUGGCGUCGUCCGUUUGCUUGAGGUUGGUGUGUUGCGGGGAGACGGCGCUCGUCUUCGUCUCAGACACGAGGUCGAUGCCCGACGCGCUCUCUGUUGGGGCGCCGACGCCGUCGACUCGCUCGACAGCCAACGAGGUGCCGCCUCCUGCUUGGCCUUGGUUGCCCCGCCUCCUCCUCCGUCGGCGGGGGAGGGGACGGGACAAGCUCGAAUGUCAUCCUUCCACCACGUGGGGAAGGCGUCGUCGAUUUCCCCGCCGGCGGGCGGGUUGUCGACCGCCAUUGUCGCUGUCACGCGGCGGGGGAAGGAGUAUCAUGUCGUAGCUGCCGUCGAGGGACAUGAACUCAAGACUCCCGAAACGGAGCACCGUCCCGGAUUGGAGAGUUGCUGUAGACUGCCCAUCUAGAGCUUGACGGGAAGCUAUUCGUCAACACGCAGCAGGCCCCUACCUGGCACGCCAAAUGUCGGUGUUUCGAAACCCGGGGGGUCCCUGGACCGACGAGUGAAUCGUCGCCGCGUGCCCCAGCCCAGAUGGGUCGGUGCGAGGCGGAACGCGAAGGGGGGAGAGAGCAGCCGGAGGGAGACAGGCGUGGGAGGUGGAACCCGCGGCCUUCGUGUUAGCCCCGCGCCCAGGUCGGGUGCGCUUGCAGUAGGGGGUUACAAGCGUCCACGCGGGAGGGAGCGAGCGGCCUUGCGCGAGCGCCGUCCCGUCCUUCCCCGCGCGGCCAACCCUCUGUAAGAGGGCCCUGGACCUCCCUUUUAUAGGCGUAUGGAGAGGAUCCAGGUGUACAACGGGGGUGUAGCAGUGUGCUAACGUGUCUAGCGGUGGAGAGCUAGCGCCUUAAGUACAUGCCAUCGUGGCAGCCGGAGAGGUUUUGACACCCAGUUCGCGUGAUGUCGUGGCCGUCGGAGGAGCGCUGGAGCCUGGCAGAAGGACAGCUGUCGGGGCUGUCGAGUCCUUGGUGACGUCCUCUUGCUUCCGUAAGGGGACUGAGAGCUGCCGUCGUCACAGGGCAUGCGGGGCGCCAUCAUUACUCGUAUAGUGGAGCGAGCCAGAUGGGACACCGGUCUUGUUCCCCGUAGCCUGAGUUAGCUCGGGGUAGGGCAAUGAUGGCGCUUCCUGUUGACGUGGUCGGUCCGUGCCCUAGGUUGGGUGAGGUGGAGGCUCCUCCGAGGUCGAGGUCGAGUUUGUCUUCCAAGGUCGAGGUCGAGUCCGAGCCCCCGGGUCGAACAAGGCGGAGCCCGUCGGCUGAGGCCAGGGCUGAGUCUGAGCCUUGGGGUCGGGCGAAGCGGGGUUCGUCGUCUUUCGGGGCUGAGCCCGUGUCCGAGCCCUGGGGUCGGGCGAAGCGGAGUUCGUCAUCUUCCGGGGCUGAGCCCGUGUCCGAGCCCUGGGGUCGGGCGAAGCGGAGUUCGUCGUCUUCCGGGGCUGAGCCCGAGUCCGAGCCCAGGGGUCGCGCGAAGCAGAGUUCGUCGUCUUCCGGGGCUGAGCCCGAGUCAGAGCCCUAAGCGGAGUUCGUCGUCUUCCGGAGCUGAGCCCGAGUCCGAGCCCUGGGGUCGGGCGGAGCGGAGUUCGUCGUCUUCCGGGGCUGAGCCCGAGUCCGAGCCCUAGGGUCGGGCGAAGCGGAGUUUCCUAUGACGCCUGAGGCCAGACUUGGCUGCUGUCAGCCUCACUCUGUCGAGUGGCUCAGCAGUCGGAGCGGCGCAGGCGGCGCUGUCCUCUUGUCAGACUGGUCAGUGGAGCGGCGAAGUGACUGCGGUCACUUCGGCUCUAUCGACUGGAGGGCGUGCGUCAGGAUAAAGGUGUCAGGCCACCUUUGCAUCAAAUGCCCCUGCGAUUUGGUCAGUUGGCAAGGCGAUUUGGCCAAGGUUGCUUCUUGGUGAAGACUGGGCCUCGGGCGAGCCGAAGGUGUGUCCGUUGCCGGAGGGGGUCCUCGGGCGAGACGUAGAUCCUCCGGGGUCGGCUGCCCUUGCCCGAGGCUGGGCUCGGGCGAGGCGUGAUCGCGUCCCUCGAAUGGACCGAUCCUUGACUUAAUCGCACUCAUCAGGCCUUUGCAGCUUUGUGCUGAUGGGGGUUACCAGCUGAGAUUUAGGAGCCUUGAGGGUACCCCUAAUUAUGGUCCCCGACAGUAAGUGACCACUAAUUUAUGUUGAUGGACAUUUUUCAAACAUUAGGUCCAACUUACCUGAAGUAUGUCAUUGAUCUUGCACCUAGGGAUUUUCUAUAGAUAUCUAAGAUCAGUAUAUCCAACCAUAACCAAAUCAUGAGUGCUCUUAGAGAACAUAACUCAAUCUCAUGUGUUGCUAGCUAGCAAAUCAUUGCAAAGCAAUAUCCGACCGGAUGCUAUUGCAAGAUACAACAUCACAUCUCAUGAUCCGAGAGAACCAAAUAACCAUGAUUCUAUCAUAUUGAGUUUCUUCAAUAUAUGUUGGAUAUAGACAACUUCGUAUCCAAGAUUCUCAAGAGAGUUUACUUUGAAUUAAAAAUCUCCUUCAAUUCAUAUCCUCUAUUUUAAAUCCCCUCAACAAGUAAUGUAUGUUUAAAAAUGUACCGCACACACUUACACUAAACAUACCGUUCUUCAUGCAUGUAUCCCUUCGUAAGUGUUGGGGACUUGUUCUCAAAUGCUUCGGUCUUGAAGAAUACAAGUGUGAUGUGAAGGCAAAUGACAGGUUCGUGUGAACAGUACGGGGGUACUGUUCAUCUAUUUAUAGACACAGGACGCAGCCUGUGACGAAUUACAAUUAUGCCCUUUACAAAAGUUUACAACAUUAUCUUAGACCUCUAUGGAUAAAAAGGUCAUUCUAUCUUUAUGUCGGUUUGCAACGCCGAAGCUCUAUAAAAAGGAACCUUCGGCCAUUUCCUGGGGACGAUUUCAGCCGAAGCUGCUUCUUCACGCAAGACCUUCGGCGCAACGAAGCAUGGGCCCAACAGUAGCCCCUUUCGCGGCGCUAGAUCGUUUUUCGUAACGAGCUUGAACCGUGAAAAAAUCCUCUCAAGCUUCGGGAAGCCGAAGGUCCAAAAAACACCUUCCCUGAGCUCGUUGCCGAGAAACGAUUCAUUUCCCGAGAUCGUGUCGGUCCCACCUUGCAGAGUCACUGUUUGGUCUUUGCGGUCCACUGUGCAGCGAGUACAAGUUACUGCCCGCCUGGUGUAAAAACCCUGCCGCUUCGCCUUCUUACCUGCAGCACUAUAUAAACAGACGAGUAGGUGUGAAGUUACCACAGCAUUUACUGCUAUUUGCACUGUUUUGCUGCCAAAAUUUUUAACCAUCACCGAAGCUUGUUUGUCAGGUUUGAACGAAGCUCCAUCUUGAAGCCUGCUUCGGAGAAAAAAGUAUCAAAGUUUCACAAGUUCAUAAUUAAAUGGCCAGAGUUCGCUCUACAGCUAGGGUUGAGCGUGAGGGGAACGAAACUGAAGCUUCGGAGACUGUGCCCAUCUCCGAAGCGAUGCAGCGCUCCGGACUGGUGACUGCGGAAGAAAUGCCUGCUGCCGAAGCAAACCCGACAACUGCCGAAGGAGAAGGGAACAUUGAAGAAACCGACUCCGAAGAUGACUACCGUAUUGCCAUGCCCAGCAAACCCAGCCACCUAGACUUCGGAAAAUCGACUGUUUCAAAGGUUGAUCUCGCCAAGAUGGUGAAAGCAGGUUUUUUCAGUGAAGAUCAGAAGAAGCUACUUCGCUUCGGGGGAGAAGAGACCACCCCGAAGCCAGAGAAGGACGAGGUUGUCAUCUUCAAAAGCUUUUUAAAGGCUGGGCUAAGAUUCCCUGUUCACGAGAUUGUUGCGGAGAUAUUGAAGAGGUUUGGCAUCUACCUUCACCAGUUAACUCCUAACGCUAUCGUUAGGCUUAGCGUUUAUAUUUGGGCCCUCCGAAGCCAAGCAGUGGAGCCUUUUGCUGACAGUUUCUGUCGAGUUCAUGAAUUGCAUUAUCAAACAAAGGCCAGAAAAGAUGGGCUUCAUGAAAACUUCGGUUGCUACAAUUUUGCCUACCGGAAAACCGCAAAGUUUCCUGUAAUCAGCUACCGAAGCAAAUGGCCGGCAGGCUGGAAAUCAGAAUGGUUCUAUGUCAAGGUUGAUGAGGACAAGGAGAAGCUUGUGCAAAGUCCACUCGAGCUAACUUUCGGAGAAACCCGACCCCACUGCAACAUGACACCAGAGGGUCAAACUCAACGGGCAAUGGAUGAGUUCAGAAUCAUUGCAGAGCAUAUUGGUACCAGGGAUCUGGUUCAAGAAUUCUUAGCAUUCAAAGUCUUCCCUACUCUGAAAAAAUGGGAAAUGCCAAAGUUAAAGGGGGAGAAGAAGGAAGGGGAUCUUGUCCGGCUUCCUUACCACUUCAAAUUCAAGAAAUAUUUUAAGAAGCCCUGCCAAGAGUGGCUGGAUACAGUUGAGGUGAUGUGUAAUGAAAUUCUUGGAAAUUAUUCGAAAAAAGAAGAUCAACUGAUGACAGCAGCCUUCGACACCCGUCCGAAGCGAAGGCUGAACUGAGUGCUUGAUGCACUGGGUUUCGAAUAUCCUGAUUAUGCGCAGCUGAACAAGGGUGCUGAGGGCCAGAGAAGAAAAAGAGCGGCCGAAGCUUUAAACAAGGAUGAAGAACAACCACCAAAAAAGAAGAAAACUGUCAAGAGAAAAAUAUCAACUCCAAAGCGAAAACUAUCCGAAGAAGAGGGGACCCCCACACCAUCUUCUACUAGCGACGUGGAGGAAAUUCUAAAGGUAAUGACUGAACCCAUGCCCACGAAGCUAAGUCCAUUAGGGCCUCGACUGACGAAGCUUUUUCAAAAGGUGGCGGAGCCGGAAAAAACGAAGAUAGCCAAAGCGAAAAGGCAAAGAAUUAUUGCCGUAACAGAAGUUAUUGACAAGACGCCACCGAGGGCGUCAAUUCAGAAAACACCAGCUGUUGGGGGCACAGAAAAUGUCGAAGUCGCACCUUCGGAGGUCGCGGCUACCGAAGCCGCUACAGCCGAAGAUGUAAACUUAGAAUCUACUAUUGAAGACAUCAACAAAAUUUUAACAGACAUGGCUGCAGAAGAAGCUGCCACCACUGCUGAAGAAACCAUGGCCACAGUGCCUGGGAAAGGGAAAGAAAUAGCCGAAGACACUUCGGACGACGAAGCCUACUCAUUUCAAAAUUUAGUCGGGCAAAAACUGUCGAAGGCCGAAAAAGAAGAGCUUAAGGAAUACGCCAAAUCUUGCGGAUACAAGCCAGGAGCUCUUCUAUUUGGAGGCAUUGAUGAUGAAAAACUGGGCUGCAUCCGGGACUCAGCUGGGGCUAAGGUCAUCGGUACUCUAUCAAAGAGUAUCGGUUUUCCGAAACUAGAGACAGACAUCAGCCGCUACCGACGACAACAUAUCGUCGGCAGCUUAUUUUAUUCAAAUUUCAAGGUAAACAUCCUUCUCUCUAACUUCUAUUGUUUUUUAAUAAUGGCAAUAUUCUUUAACGAAGGUUGUUUAUUUGCAGAGCAUGCUUCUAAGCAAAGCUUUGAGGAUGCAGCAAGAUCUAGAAGAUAAGAAGCACGAAGCUAUAAUUGAAAAUUUAGAGAGCAAGAUAAAAGAACAAUCAGCUAUUAUUGAAAAGAAAGACUUCGAACUUCAAUCAACCGAAGGCUUGCUGGCAGAGACUGAAGCCAAAGUAGCAGAAUUGAAUUCGAAGCUUCUCUGCCAAUCAAAACAAUUUGAACAAGAGAAGCUAGAACUUGAUUCGAAACUUGAAGCCGAAGUCCAAGCCAACUCAAAUUUGAAGAAAUCAUUAACAAGCCUUCAGGAUAAAUGUUUGAAUUUUAGCAACAAUUGUAUCCAACAACUAAAGAAGAUCUUUUACUCAGUUGGAGCCAGCAGCGGGAAAUUUACCCCUUCGGAUGAAGAUUUACCAAAAGCCUUCGAUUAUAUCGAAGCUGAAAUUGAAGAACUUGACGAAGUUAUAGCUGGGCACAGUGACUUCUGUGCCUGGGUAGCUUCUCGGGGUACUGCUGCAGCAUUCCUGAAGGCUGGCUGCGAGCAUGGAAAGAUUGUCAACAGGCCCAACUUCGCCCUGUCUCCAUCAAUUCUCGACGACAUUCCUGACCUCGCCCGGAGCAUCUCAAAUAGAUUCAUAAAAAUGAUAUGGACAAAAGGCGGGCGAGAGAAGGCUGGGGACGAAGCUCGAAGUCAUCUUGAACCAGUAAGAAAUCAUACUUUGUACUUACCUUCUCCUUCACACUUGAUUUUUACUCGGGAUACCUUGAUUCAUGUAGGAUGACGAAGCUGAAGGUGAUACUUAAAGGAUAUGCCGCCGAAGCAGAAACCUGACGAAGAUUAAUAGGAGUAGACUAGAAAAAACUCAGGAGAAUUUGUAACAACUUUUUGUAAAUACAAUUAAUCUAUUCUCAAGGAACUUUGUUCAUACCUUGUAAUAUAUUCUUACCCUUUUAUUGAGACGCUUUGAUGUGGACGAAAUCAGUAUUUUGAGCCGAAGGCGAAAAAACACCUUCCCUUCUUUUCGUACACAACGAAGCAUAAAAGACCAUUUCUUCUUUUUGCCAAAGCUUUUCUUUUUUGUACAUGACGAAACAUAAAAGACCGCUUCUUCCUCUUGCCGAAGCUUUUUCUUUUUUGUACAUGACGAAACAUAAAAGACCGCUUCUUCCUCUUGCCGAAGCUUUUUCUUUUUUGUACAUAACGGAACAUAAAAGACCGCUUCUUCCUCUUGCCGAAGCUUUUUCUUUUUUGUACAUAACGGAACAUAAAAGACCACUUCUUCCUUUUGCCGAAGCAACCACUUAGGAACACAAAUGCUAUGAAUGAAUGCUUAUGAAUGCAAAUGCUAUGAUGUAAUGUGCGAAUGAAUGUCCAAAGCAUAUAACCGAAGCCACACUCAACCAUUAUUUCCUUGGAAUCAACCACACAUCAGCUCUGCAUUCCCUUAGGAACGACUUUGGAGCUUCCUCGUCUUUUACUUAGACGGUAUAAACUCUGCAUUCCCUUAGGAACGUCUUUGGAGUUUCUUCGCCUUUUACUUAGGCGGUAUAAGCUCUGCAUUCCCUUAGGAACGUCUUUGGAGCUUCUUCGUCUUUUACUUAGACGGUAUAAGCUCUGCAUUCCCUUAGGAACGUCUUUGGAGCUUCUUCGCCUUUUACUUAGGCGGUAUAAGCUCUGCAUUCCCUUAGGAACGUCUUUGGAGUUUCUUCGUCUUUUACUUAGACGGUAUAAGCUCUGCAUUCCCUUAGGAACGUCUUUGGAGCUUCUUCUCUUUUUUCUUUUUCAGUUUCUGCACUCGAUGGUGCGUUCUCAGCUGUUACAUUUACAUUUUUUGGGGGAUUUUGCUCUUAUAAGACUAAAAAAGGAAAUUACACAUGAUGGCCCCAUUAAAAACCUUUCUCCCCCUUCGGAAAGGAAAAGGGUGCCAUGAAAAAGAAAAGAAAAAACAUAAAAAAUUACAUCAUGUUAUACAUAGUAUCGCCGAAGCUCAUCCGCAUUCCAAGACCUUGGAAUUUCGUUGCCAUCCAUGUCCUUCAAUCUGUACGAUCCAGGCCUUGACGAAGAUACUACUAAGAAUGGUCCUUCCCAUUUCAACUGUAGCUUACCCACUGUAUCUGGGUUAGCCACUCUCCGAAGCACCAAGUGUCCCGGCUCAAUAUUUUUUAGCCGGACUUUUCUAUCUCGCCAUUUAACUGUUUCAGCCUGAUAUUUAUUGAUAUUCUCCACGGCCUGAAGCCUGAUCCCUUCUAAAGCAUCCUUUUCCACAAGGCAAGCAUCUUCGGGACCUGAUUCUGCCGAAGCUACUACUCUUAUUGAUCCAGCUUUUGCUUCCUCCGGAGUUAUUGCUUCGUCACCGAAUAAUAAUUUGAAUGGGGUAAAGCCUGUAGACCUUGAUGUUGUUGUAUUGUGGCUCCACACCACUUUGAUUAACUGAUCUGGCCACUUUCCCCUGGGUUGAUUGAAGAUUAACUUCAUUAUUCCUGUCAUUAUAAUGCCGUUGGCCCUUUCAACGAGCCCAUUUGACUCCGGAUGCCUGACUGAUGCAAAAUGGAUCUUCGUUCCAAUUUGAUCACAGAAAUUUCUGAAAGCUUCGGAGUCAAACUGCGUUCCAUUAUCUACAGUGAUUGCCUUCGGUACCCCGAAGCGACAGACAAUAUUCUGCCAGAAAAACUUUUGGACAGUGGCCGAAGUUAUUGUGGCCAAUGGCUUCGCCUCAAUCCACUUGGAAAAAUACUCCACAGCCACUAUAACAUAUUUUAGAUUCCCUUGAGCCGGUGGUAAUGGACCCAACAAGUCAAGGCCCCACCUUUGCAAUGGCCAGAUGGGUUGUAUCAGCUGUGUCAAAGACGAAGGUUGUUUUUGAUCUCUUGCACAUUUCUGACAACCUUCGCACUUUUGCACUAACUCCGCCGCAUCCGAAGCUGCCUUCGGCCAAUAAAACCCUUGGCGGAAGACUUUCCCAAGUAAUGGCCUGGAUCCGAUGUGGGAUCCACACAGGCCUGCAUGUAUCUCUUUCAUCAACUCUAUACCUUCGGCUCUAGAUAAGCACUUGAGCAGCGGAGCGCAAACUCCAUGUUUGUAUAAUUCCCCUUCUAUCAUGACAUACGGACGAGCUCUUGCCUCUAUUCUUUUAUUGUAAGCUUCGUCAUCUGAAAGGAACUUACCCUGAAGGUAAGAGAUUAUUUCAGUUCUCCAAUCUUCGCUGUAAACAUGAGAUAUGUUGAGGACUGCUCUUUCAAGGAGCUCCACUGAAGGUGCCUUUAUUGUUUCGAAGAACACAUCCGAAGGUAACGGCAGCCCCUGUGCCGCAGACUUAGCUAGCAAAUCAGCAUGCUCAUUUUGUCCUCGAGGGAUAUUCUUGACAGAGAAUCCUUCGAAGGAUGCUUCGAUCCUUCGGACCAUAUCUAGGUAUUUUUCAAGCUUCGGAUCUUUAGCCUUGCAACUUUUGUCAACAUGACCCGAAACCACCUGGGAAUCAGUUUUAAGAAUUGCCCUUCUGAUUCCCAUUGCCUUUAAUUUCCGAAGGCCCAGAAGCAGGGCUUCGUACUCAGCAAUAUUGUUUGUGCAGCUGAAAUCAAGUCUUGCUGCAUAACAAGUUUUGACCUUGGAUGGUGAAACCAACACAGCAGCUGCACCUGCUCCGAAGAUUCCCCAAGAUCCAUCACAAAAUACUGUCCACACCUCGGCAUCUUUAUUUGCUUCUUCAUCCUGAGCCCCUGGCGUCCAGUCGGCAAUGAAAUCUGCCAAUGCUUGAGACUGGAUCGAAGAUCUAUGCACAUAAUCAAUGCAAAAUUCGUUGAGCUCUGCAGCCCAUUUCCCAAUCCGUCCAGUAGCUUCUCUAUUUCUCAUUAUAUCCUUCAACGGCUGCGAAGAAGGAACAAUGAUAUUGUAUGCCUGAAAAUAAUGCCGAAGCUUCCUGGAUGCCAUUAAAACGACAUAUAAUACCUUCUCCAGCUCUGUAUAAUUUUUCUUUGAGACACUAAGGACCUCAGAUACAAAAUACACUGGGACUUGCUUCUUGAGCUGGCCAUCAAGCUUCUCCUGGACAAGUGCCGCACUUACUGCUGAGUGCGAAGCUGCCACAUAUAACAACAGAGGAGCCCCUGGCAUUGGUGGAGUUAAUGUUGUGAGAUCUAUCAAGUAUUGCUUCAACUCUUCGAAGGCUUUUUGUUGACUUGGGCCCCAUUGAAAGACUUCGGCUGACUUCAGCACCUCGAAAAAUGGUAAGUUUCUUUCUGCUGAUCUGGAUAUAAAUCUGUUGAGAGAUGCCAGCCUUCCUGUCAAUCUUUGGGCCCCUUUUCUUGUAGUUGGUGGCUCCAUUCGAAGUAUAGCUUCGAUUUUAUUUGGAUUAGCUUCGAUUCCCUUUGUUGAAACCAAGCAUCCAAGAAAUUUACCCUUCUUUACUCCGAAGACACAUUUCUCUGGAUUCAGCUUCAAACCAGCUUGUCUGAAGCUGGCGAAGGUCUCCUGCAGAUCAGCAAUAUGAUUUUCCUGCUUCGUGCUUUUGACGAUAAUGUCAUCAACAUAGGUCAACACAUUUCUGCCUAUUUGAGACUGAAGAACCUUCGCAGUCAUUCUGCUGAAACUUCCUCCAGCGUUUUUGAGCCCUUCAGGCAUCCGAAGAUAGCAAUACGUGCCACUUUGAGUUAUGAAGCUAGUUUUCGGCUCAUCUUCCUUUUUCAUCCAGAUUUGAUGAUAUCCUGAGUAACAGUCCAAGAGACUCAUGAGCUCUGAAGAAGCUGCUGCAUCGACUAGAGAGUCUAUCCUUGGCAACGGGAAUUCGUCCUUCGGACAAGCCUUGUUGAGAUCUGUGAAAUCGAUACACAUUCUCCACUUGCCAUUGGCCUUCUUCACCAUAACAGUGUUAGCUAGCCACUCUGGAUACUUCACUUCUCUGAUAACUCCUGCACUGAGGAGUCUUUUUACUUCAUUGCGAGCCCCUUCGGCCUUGUCAUCAGACAUUUUCCGAAGCCUCUGCUUUCGGGGUCUGAAGGAUGGGUCAACAUUGAGCGAAUGUUCAAUAACAUCCCGAUUUACUCCACAGAGAUCAUUAGCCGACCAUGCAAAAACAUCUUUGUUGUUGAAUAAAAACCUUAUCAAGGUUUUCUCCUGGUCUUCAGAUAAUUGCGAGCCCAACAGCACCUUCUGCUCUGCUAUGUCCUCACACAAUAGCAUGGGCUUCGGCUGAUCUGCUGAAGCUGCCUUCUCCCUUCUGAAUUUGUACUGUUCACAAGCUUCGGCUCCAUCUAUAUUAUGAAUUGCUUUGGAGUCAGUCCAGUUACCUUCGGCCCUUCUUGCGGCUUCCUGACUUCCAUGGAUAGCAAUGGGUCCCUGUUCCGAAGGUAUCUUCAUGCAAAGAUAAGCAGGAUGAAGGAUUGCUUCGAAGGCAUUAAGAGUACCACGACCAACAAUUGCAUUGUAAGGAUAUUCCAUGUCAACAAUGUCAAACACAACUUGCUCAGUUCUAGUGUUGUUGAUGAAUCCGAAGGUCACUGACAUGGUGAUCUUGCCCAGUGCUACAAUCUGUCUUCCUCCGAAGCCACAGAGAGGAUGUGUAGCAUCAUGAAUCUUAUCUUCUGGCUCUUGCAUUUGUCUGAAGGCUUUAGCAAAUAUGAUGUCAGCUGCACUGCCUGUGUCAACCAAGACAUUGUGGACCAGAAAUCCUUUGAUAACACAAGAGAUAACCAUGGCAUCGUUGUGUGGGUAAUCUUUGAGCUGAAGGUCCUCCUGGGAGAAGGUAAUAGGAAUGUGAGACCAUCUUGUCUUGAUGAAGGGUCCUUGCACCCCAACAUGCUGUACCCUCCUCUGUGCUUCCUUCUUCUGUUUCUUGUUAGCUGGCUCUGAGGACGAGCCACCUGUGAUCGGUAGCACCAGCUUCGGGUCCGAAGCAGCUCCAGCUCGGUUGUUGAACGAAGCCAUCAGCUCAAAAAGUGGAAGUGAGUUCACCGGAGGUGGGCGCCAAUGUUGGGGACUUGUUCUCAAAUGCUUCGGUCUUGAAGAAUACAAGUGUGAUGUGAAGGCAAAUGACAGGUUCGUGUGAACAGUACGGGGGUACUGUUCAUCUAUUUAUAGACACAGGACGCAGCCUGUGACGAAUUACAAUUAUGCCCUUUACAAAAGUUUACAACAUUAUCUUAGACCUCUAUGGAUAAAAAGGUCAUUCUAUCUUUAUGUCGGUUUGCAACGCCGAAGCUCUAUAAAAAGGAACCUUCGGCCAUUUCCUGGGGACGAUUUCAGCCGAAGCUGCUUCUUCACGCAAGACCUUCGGCGCAACGAAGCAUGGGCCCAACAGUAAGAAAGGAUUCACUAGGUCAAUUGUACCAUAUUCGACUGCGAUGCUCUAAGUCACAAAUAUUUUUCAAGCAUUGCAAAUUUAUGAUUGGUGAUUAGGUAUUUGAAAUCCUUCAAGACUCCACAAAUAUCAUAAUACACUGACUACAUAUGCAUAUGUUGUCACUACAUCUUUCAACUGCACAGAUAAAUGAUUUACUACCAUAAUAUUGUAUCGUAAUUUUACUACUCAUAGUAGAAGGAGAAUUUAUAGCAUUUAAAUAAUGCUUGGGUUUGCAUAAAAACCCAAUUGCUAGUAGCCAUGCUUUCUCACCACCUCAUUGUUGUCAAGUCCAUGAAAACAAACUUGUAUCCAUAGUAAGAUACCAUGAAAUGAAAAUAAUUCAACACUUCUUUCUGGUGAGCAAGGCUAUCUCUGCAACAUUUUAUCACUCAACAAGAUCUAGUUUGAGCAUACUCAUGCUCUGCUAUAGCCAGAGUCUUUUGGAUCACUUGAAGCACAUAUACAAUUGUUGAGAUGUAUGUGUCGACACUUGUAGCUUUCAAAUAACACAAUUCUCUAGUUGAAAUGAAGUCAUUUUCUUAUGCACUCUUAUGAUUCCUCGUGAAAUCCCAAAACGAGAAUCAAAGGUUUCCGAUACCCUAGCCUCAUCAGCGUGCACUGAGCUAGGUUGUGAAUGUCAUCCAUUCACAGGAUCCAUAUCCUCUAGGUAUCCACCAACACUAGGUUGGUUACCAACUAGUUGGUCUGCAUUUACUAUCUCAAAAGGUCUAACCUUCAGCUGCUUGCAAGCAUCUUAAUCCUAAUCUUUAACCAUACUUCUCCCCCUCUUAUUUACAACCGUGUUGCAAUAGGGAGUUAAGUGGUUUUCCAUUUAUCCACUCUUUCUAGCACAUUCGACAUAGGAUUAAUUUGAGUGACACCUCAUAGUAAAUGCACAUGGUAGUCGAUUUGCACCUUCUUGCAAAUCAUUUGAACCCAAAGGUUCAGUUUUAGUACGUGAUCAUGAGCCUGGAUGCUUAUUGUAUUCCUUCUAAUUUCUUGACAUUCUUUCUAGUACUUGAAAUAUCUCCCUAAUGCAUGGAAAAGAUCAUGAUUCAAGUUAGCGUAUGGGUCAUAAAUAGAUUCUCACAAAGAGAUUUUAAAUACUUAAUGAUCGGCGGAUAAUGAAUUCUCACAUAGAUACCUAGCUUUCUGUGUGCCCAUACUUGUACGCUACGGUGGCGAGAUUGGGAAAACAUCCCAAUGUAUGCAUGGGAAAUCUUUGAUGGAUUCCCACUUACUAAAACCAUAGGAGAACUUGUACGUGCAGUACAUGUAGUUAAUCAAAAGUCAUGAGCGUGCAAAACUACCUGAUUCCAUCCAUAACUAGUUGGAAAUGACAAUUAAUUACUAAUAGUCAUGAACUAUUUGAAAUGUCCGAAUCAUAGAUUUCUCAUAUCCAUUAUGGGUAUCAUUCUGAAUACCAAGGCAAACAAUCGUCAUUGUAAGCAUAUUUAGUAAAUUCAGUAGUGUGGAGGCUAAUGUUCUCAAGCUUGAGACAUUAUUAUUUAAUGGUCUCGUGUUGUCCGAAGGACACACUCAAGUCAUCAUAUAGAUGCACAAUAGAACCAUGUAAGGCCUUCAAUGUCCAUACAAUCUCUAUAAUGGACCACACUUGUACUUUUGAAAAUAAUUCAAAGAACCUAACCAAUUUAGAUCUGAUUUUAAGGUAAGAGGGAAUUAAAAUCUUAUUCUCGAUGAUACUCGUAGAGUAUCCAUCCCAUGGGAAACUGUUGGUGUUAAGUACUGGCAACACGCAACCAGGGUGGCCACAUAGCGCUUUUCUGAGGAAGGCAACGACGAUUGCAACUCGAUGGUACGUGCAAAGCACGUUAGAGACACAAGUGAUUGCUUAGGUUCAGACCGCACUGUGGCAUAAUAUCCUACAUCAUGUGGUUUCUGUCUAUGUGCGGUUGAGUCCUCUCUGGAAUACAUGGAAUGUCUCGUUAAGGAAUAUGAGUUCUAUGGGUGUCUAUCUCGUCUUCGUAGGGUCCACACUUUAGCCUUAUUGCCGACUGAACUGGGGUUAUAGAGAAACUACCACGAGUCCACGAUCUCCACGUUUCAUUUGUUCUGCCUCCCGUCGUGCUGGGCUACGAUCAAACGAGUUUUCUGUCAAUUUCCGCAUCCUGCACGUACAAGAGGCGACGAGUUUCUCUCGUAUGUGCAAUUGCAUCUUUCUCAAACUCCAACGGUUGUCGUCCGACUGAGGCCCAUUGGGAGGAUUUCGGGUGGCCCAUCAAGGGCCAUUCAGAUGGCUCAUGAAGCGUCUCCGGGCUGUGGUGACCCGGGGGGAUAUCUACCCCCACAAAAAACUAUGGCCAAUAAAUUUGUUCAUAACUUUUUAUUUCAUCCCAGUGAUGAAAUGACCAAUUCAACCUUACCCAGCAUGGUAAGCAUCUUCAGAUGAAAACUUACAACAAAUGCAAUACAUUGUACGAGAGGAUAUGUAGAAUACAAUUCAUAAGAAAUGUUUUCAAGAAACACAUGCAAUAUCCAUCAUCAUCUUGUGUUUCCACAUGAUAUAAAUUAUAUGGAUAUCUCUAUAAGUUGGUAAGAUAAAAUUAGGAUAUAGAAUCUACCUAAUAUAGUGGGCUAUUUUAUUUGGAAUUUGAUAUUUCACCACAUUCUAAAGUUUAAAUAUAAGCCUAUAUCAAAGUCAUAGGAUGUGAUGGUGGAAAUUGAUUUUAUAUAUCACUAGUCUAUAUUUUUACUCCGUAGCUUAUAACACGCUCUUCGUCUCGUUUUCCUAUAGUAAAAAUGUAGCAAAUAAAUAUCUCCAUCAUAUGGCUACAUGUAGUAUACAUAUAUAUUUUAUAUAAAACUGUAUUAGCUUAACUGAUUUAUGUAUAAAUUACGAUUAUUAGAAUGAAAUUCAAUUCUAAGCAUCUAAAUGGGCAUAAUAGCAUUUACACUUCUAAUUUGUUUGUAUCCGUUGUCACGGUCGAUUUAAACUGUUUGAGAAUGACGGUAGCAAACUAGCAUGAAGUAAGGAUAUAAAUGGUAUAAUUAAAUCUGAUCCGUUUAAGAGGGCUAAAAUUUAAUCUAUAUCCAAAUCCGAGUAUUCAAUAUUUGAUUAGUACUUGUAUACUUAAAUUUGGAUAUUUAAGAUGUUGAUAUCUAUUUAAAUCAUAUUCACUAUCGGAAUCACGUUCUUUGUCGAGUGUCUAAGACACUCGGCAAAGACUAUUUUAGACUCGGCAAAUAUUUUAUCGGCAAAGGGUUCUUUGCCGAGUACUUUUUCGGACAUUCGACAAAGACUUUGCCGAAUGUCGAAAAGCAAUUUCUCUCGCGCAUACCCUCCUAUACCACUACACUACUACACCAAUUAUGUCUAUAUUACGUUUUCAUUUCCCAUGUACUAUAACAAACCAAGAGUAAUUUGAUUAUUUAAGACACUAAAUGAGUUCAUUUGAAAAUGUGACCAAUUAUAAAGUUGCAUAACUUUUUGAGAUCUAUAAGUUUUAUUUUAAUAGUUUCUACAUCCGAGACCGUUUACAAAAUUUGAAUUUUAAAUUUGAAAAAUUCACACGAAUUUUUCAAUGAUAAGAUGAUUUCAAAUCAAAAGUUGUCAAUUACAAAGUUUCAUUACAUUUUAAGACCUACAACUUAUAUUUUGGUGGUUUUUCCAUCCGAGAUAGUUUGAAAUUUUCAAAUUUCAAAAUUUAAACAUAGUUUUGCAUAACAAGAUGAUUUCAAACCAAAACAUUGUCAACUACAAAGUUUCAUAACUCUUCAAUACCUACAACUUUCUUGUUGGUGGUUUUUUCUUUCGAGGUCGUUUUCAAAAUUCAAAUUUUAAUUUUUUUUAAAUUCAGACGUAGUUUUCGUUCACAAUAUGACUUCAAAUGAAAAAGUUGUCAACUACAGACUUCUAUAACUUCUCAAGAUCUACAAAGUUUAUUUUGGUUGUUUGGUCAUUUAUUUAUCUCACAUGAUGGUUCUAACAAUAUGCAUAAAUUCUAUACGUCUCUCUCGUAGUUUCAUAAACUACGAGAGAGAUAUAAGUUUUAUAAACAAAUUUAUUUUUAUUUUGUUAUAUGAAGAAAUGUUCAAUAUAUAAAUUGUAUAUCAUGAUGAGUUAUACAAAUUUGUAGUUGAAAACUUUUCAUUUGAAUUAAUUUACUACUUUAAAAUGUGAUUUUAAAUUGUCUUUGCCUAGUGUUAGAAAAAAACACUCGACAAAGAGCUUUUUGCCGAGUGUUGUAUUUGUGACACUCGGCAAAGAGCUCUUUACCGAGUGUCAAAAGAGUUUCUUGCCGAGUGUCAAAAAUAAAACACUCGGCAAAGAGCUUCUUCGCCGAGUGUUUUCUUUUACCGAGGGUUUUUUGUGUGGCACUCGACAAAGAGUUUCUUUGCCGAGUGCCCAAAAAAAGUACUCGGCAAAGAAUAUGGCACUCGACAAAGAGCCAAAUUCCGGUAGUGAUUAGACACAACUCAAAUAAUAAAUGUAUCAUAUCCGAACCUAAAGAGAAAAUAUGAAAAUAAACACGGAACCAUGAUAUCCAUCCAUAUUACACUGUUUCCCGUGGUUCCCGAGCGCGGAUGCGAAAACAGGUGACGCAGAGAUGAGCUUGUCCCGGAUACGGCUAGAGAUGGCCAAACGGGCCGCCCGACCCAUUUUAGGCCCGGACUGCUAGGCACGAUUAGUAAACUAGACCGGACUGUCUAAGCCCGUGGGCUCGUUUCCAUGUUCCAGCCCGGCCCGCUGCGAGCCUAAAUGGACUGGGCCGGUAUGGUACGCACGGAAAAAGCGGGCUAAAAACGGUCUAAACGGACCGGUAAGCACAGUUUACUGCAAAAAAGCGGGCUUGACGGGGCUUAUAGGUAAACGGGCCAUGCCAGGCUAACCCGUCGUGCUUAGUUUCCUGUCGGAGCCCGGCCCGAGCCUAUAUAAAAGCGGGCCAGACCGGGCUCGUUCCGGGCCAAAAAUACAUGAUUCGGACCCGUCUUUGGUGCUUUAUGUACAUCUAUAGAUAGCCUUUAUCCCAACGCCUAGCGAAAAGAGGGGGAGAAGGGAGGGAAUAUGCAGAUUUGAGGGAGAGAGAGGGAGGGGAUGCCCCUCUUUAACAACCACAUCCAGUGGUUGUUGGAUGACGCUACAGUUGCGGCGUAUGUCGCUAAAACAAUAUAUUCAAGACGCGUUUCGCGUUCUGUUGGAAUCAGCAUGAAGCUGAAGCCAUGAACACAUAGCCUCACUAUCUUUUUAAGCGAAAACGAGUUCUAUAGAAAUGCACGUGUGCAUACAAGCAGAAAGGAGAAGGCCUGGAUCACCACCAUACCUGCUAGCGACACAGCAGGUACAAAGUCAGCUUUUAUAAAAAACUGCUUCCUGAAUCCAGCCAUUUGGGUCUAGAUUUUAGUUUUUAUGGAGCAAAAGCCAAACCAAACACAUUUUAAGAUAGGGAUUCAGAUGUUUUCUUAACAUGCGUGAUAACAUCUUUUUUUUAAUUGUAAUACUAGGGGACAGUGUUAACCCCACAAAUCGAGUUUUUAUUUGUAGGGGAGAAAUAUCGUAAUAACACAUCUGUACGUGCGCCUGACAUUUAUUUUAUUCCAUCUCGACUGGGAAGGGACACCCAAUCAAACAUGCAAAACAACAGCAAGAGCUAGCUUAUUGGUGGCUGCCUGCCUGCUUAUAGCAAGGCGGACGGACGGAGGAGCAUGGAAGGAUCCAUCGGCUGUGCCGCUGUGGAUGAGUCUAGUGGAUCUUGCAGCCGCAGUUUUCGGGGAGGAAGUCGCGGCACCUGUACUUGGUGGUGCCCUUGUCCGUGGACACGGGGACGCAGUUCUUGCAGGUGGCGGCGCACUUGGUGAGGAGGUCGUCGCAGGUCCACACGCCCGACCAGCUGGUGCACUCGCCGCACCAGCACUGCUUCUUCGUCGUCGGCCCUGCGCGGCAGCAUCAUGCGUACUCGCUUUAUUUCGUCACAUGCACCCCGCACAUAUAUACGCGCAGAUUAACUGUAUACACACGAGCUAGCAGCGUCCAAUCAAGCUAGCAGCCAGCUAGAUGAAAUCUCGGCAAGCACACGUACCUGC
This 56341-nucleotide long non-coding RNA is filed under the name Zea mays. Its description in RNAcentral is "long non-coding RNA (ZMAY_LNC001477)". The record is from RNAcentral. Lineage: Eukaryota; Viridiplantae; Streptophyta; Magnoliopsida; Poales; Poaceae.